RNAcentral lists this long non-coding RNA (61266 nucleotides) under Malus domestica (apple). Its description in RNAcentral is "long non-coding RNA (MDOM_LNC011961)". The record is from RNAcentral. Lineage: Eukaryota; Viridiplantae; Streptophyta; Magnoliopsida; Rosales; Rosaceae.
UCUAUUAUAUAUACAUCCAUCUGCAUGGCAUUUAGAACAAAAAAAAAAAAUCAAAUUCUUCUUCUACAAUCCCAAACCUUUUUACUGAGAGAACCACAAAGAAAUGCACAAGAAGUCUAGUUUUCCAGUGCUGAAAUCCUGACUUAGAUUAUUGAAUCCUGGUGAGGCAGACGUCCGUAGAAAUACAAGCACUGAGUAUGGACGAAAUUUCUGUUUCAAGGACAGUGCGGUACGGAAGCCUCAAUCUUCAGUUUAUCUGUUUGAAUAUUAUUUCGUUUUGUUCAUAUUCUGUUAAAUUAUAAAUUUGCAUUUAUUAUUUAUUAGCAUAUAAAUUUAUCAUUGAUUGUUGAUAUUUAUCUAACAUAUACGUGAAUCAUGAGUAGCACCCUCCCAUCCAGCCCCAGACAAAUGUAAAACACAUAUUGAAAUCACAUACAGUCAUAACAUUUUGAGUUGUGUUUUCUUUUCUACCAAUAUAUGGUACUUGCAUUUCUCUAGGCACCACAACUGGGACAUGUUCCAUCAAUUGCCCCUAUGCAACCUUUAAAAUAUGGCCAAUAUCGAUUGUCAUCCUUAAUUUUAUUUGAAACUCUCUUGAAUUGCCGAUCAUGUGGGCAUAUAAUAUCGAUAGCCAUGCGAGAAACAACAUCUAAUAGUUUCCCAAACCACCUAAAGACAAUCUCACCAGAGCGUUGAAACCUCUCUUGGACCAUCCUAAUAGUGUUCCCAUGACCUAAUGUGUUAAUAAUUUCUCACCUUCACUUUUUUCUCCCACUACUCAUCACUUGCAAUGAUAGUUUGCUUCACAGGAUCCCAUUCUAAGCCAGUCUCUUUACCAACUAAUGAUGUCCACAAUUGCCAUUCUUUCUUAAGUGCAGUCCAUUUGUUCUUGAUUUGUUUACGAUCAUACAACCUUUGAGUAAGGUCAUUAAAUUUCUUAAUAACAUUUUUCCAUCCAAUCCUAUUACGAUGACCACCUGUUUGAUUUCCGGCUAAUGUCUCAAUUACACAAAUGCUUAUAAAUGUCUCAACAUUUGCAUCAUCCCACAUUGCCUUACCCUUUUUUUUAUUACUUUCCUCACGUGCAUCUUGUGCAUCUCUAACUAUAUUUUUAGACAUAUUUAUAAAGAGAAAGAAAAACAAACUAUAGCACAAAAUAAGAGCAUACACCACUGCUUAUGUCCUAACUAACAACACGAAUAAUUUAAAUAUUUCAAUUGUAUGGAAGCAUCUGGUUUACUAUCAGUAGUAUGAAAAGCAAUUAUUGCAGUGAUAAUAGGUUGUUCAAUUGUUACGUAACUUGGGAAGCAAUUAUUUCAUUAUUUUGUGAUUAUAAGAAAGUUUCCAAUGGUAAUAAUUUUUGGUAGUUGUUUCAUCAUUAAACAUCUCAUAGAGAAACGGUAUCAUGAACAAACGGCAGCAAGGUUAUUGAUCUUCAAAGUUUUUUUUUAUUUUUUUUAUUUUAUCGAAUUUGCUAUGCAAAGUUUACUAAUCUAAAAAGUAUUCUGAAUACCAAAAGCAAAAGCGCUAUAAAUCGUAUUGAUAGAAAACAUUAAAAAUAAUUCUAAUAACAAUAGUUAAAAACAACAAUCAUACAGGAAACAAAUAAUUCAGAAAUACCUUUGGAGAGUUAAUGAACGAUCACCAAACAAAAAUUUAUAUUUAUUAACAAAUAAGAAGAGUAAGUCUGUAAAGAGAGAAGCAACAUGAUUUUAUAAGAGGAUUGUGAUUCUGUACCAGGGGUUUAAUGUCAUAAAUGAUAAAUCAAAAUUUGUUAAAUAUUUCCAGGCUUAAGGUCGUGAUAUACCUUUGGAAGGUUAAUGAACGAUCACCAAACAAAAUUAUUUGCGUGUGGCUACAUACAAAUUUAAGAUAAGAAAUAGCAUACAUACCUCCACAAAAUGUUCAGGCGAUGGAGAUGCAUGUAGAGAGGUUUGGGGAAGAUGAAGAUGAAGAGAUGGAGACCAAGUAGAAUGCUCAGCCUCCAAAAUAAUAUGAAAAUAAAAACCUUAUGGGUUAUCGACGUGCAACCCUAGAAAAAAUAGAUGAUGGUAAUUUUGAUAUUUUUUUUUUUGAAGUGUAAUGGCAUUUUAGACUUUCAAAUUAAAAAAUAGGGAUAAUUUUGAAAUUGAAAAAAUUUCAUUAAAGAGAGCAAAGUGCUUCCCUUGUUUUCUCUGCGCAUCACUUUUAAGAGGAAGCACCUCCUAGGUGCUUCUUUAGAAAAUGCUUCUUAUUACUUCUACUUCUACUUCUAACUAAAAACACUUUUAAAAUAUUUGCCAAACAACAAGUUUUUUAAACUGAAACGUUUUUACUCAUUAGGAAGUGGUUUUGGCUCUUUUAGAAGCACAACCAAACGAGCUAUAUGUUGGUCUAGUUGUAGGUACAGUCUAGUUUGGUUCGAUUUCUCAUUUAAAUAGCAGUCAAUGCGAUUUUGUGAUGCAUUGUGCUUGGCUAUGGCAGUGUUUCUCUACUUUGAUGGUUAUUUUUACCUCAUUGUUGACAACAAUGACGGCUCUUCAUGGGAGUAAUUUGGUUCUUGGCCUCAUGGCUAGGGUUUAGGUUUUUUGUUCGACUUUUGUGAGUUUGACGAAGUUGUAUCAACUCUUUAUUUGAAAGUGGGAGUUUGUUGUAUCUCCUUAGAUGGAGGAAGACUUUAUUUUCAAGAUGUUGUAGCAAGAGAUUUAUGUUAAAUUAGUUGAAAAUGCACUACAAAUAUUAGAUGAGUUGUUUAUAAAUCACUUGUUUAUGUUUUUGUAAUGGUUAUGUAGCCCUUUUCAAAUUUUACGUAAUAUUUUUGUAGUUGAUUUCUAAUUAAUUAAGUUUUUAUCCUAGCUAUCUCUUAAUACUUACAAAUUUCUCAUCCAAACAUAACCUAAAAGUUUUUUUUUCCCAACUUCUUGUGCCAUGACAAUAAUAUAUUAAAAAAGAAUGUCGUAAAAACAUUGAUGUCAUUUUACUUUAUUAGUAAGGGAGUGCUAGCAACCGUUGCACUAAUAUUUGCAUUUGGACCUUUUCAUUUUAUCAAAAUGUCAUGUGUCAUUUUGUACACACACAAAAAAAAUAAAUAAAUAAAAACAUUUUAAUGACUUUAGCUAGGGAUUAAAGAUGAAAAGCAUAAAAUAUAAUUUUAAGGCAUUAAAUGUCUUGUAUUUUGCGUUAAAAAAUGACACGUGGCGUUUGAUAAAGUGAACAUGUGCAAAUGAAAAUGUUAGUACAAAGGUUGCUAACUUUAUUAUUUCUUUAAACCUUCUUAUCUUACAAAAUCAGAAACACUUUGUAUUGUAGGGUCCAACUCCCAUACUACGUAGUAUGGACUGUAAGUUCUGAAGAUAGGUAUACACUUGGUUAGCACUUGUUAUUAUACACAUGGGAAUAUUAGAGAUUAACAUUGAUAAUGUUUGUGUGCUAAUAAGGAACAUGUUUAUUAGGAUUCAUUAGCUUGAACACUCAUUAUAGUACUAAAAGUCUUUCUAGCUUACAUGAAUAAGAGGUUAAGAUCAAUCAAUAAUACUCAAUGGAAAGCAUCUUAGUUGAUUACCACUGUGUAUGGUUAGGGUCCCUGCACUCUUUUUAAUCACGCAAGCUUACAAAAAAUGGAACCCCAUUCUUGAGGCCUUGCAUACUGAAGAGGAGAGCUGCACAAGAACUCUAAUCCCAACAAGCAUGUCAUCAUCUUCAGGUGAGUGGUUAAUUUGGUACUGUGUUAUAAUAUUCAGAAUUCAUAUUCAUAUAUAUUAUAUGUUUUACAUGGACUACUACGAGUAUUAAAUGAUUUGGAUGCAAAGAACCACAUCAUCCAAAUCAAUUCAUCUUAUCCAGUGCUCGUAGUAUUUUAUACCAUGCAGUAUGGAAGAAUUUUCCAGUAUGGUAUGUCAUAUCCAAAAUCAAUGAAAUAUGAUGAAUUGCAUUAUCCUGUUGGAUCACUUGGUGUUACAUCCUGGUGCAUUUUGGAUACGAGCUAUAGAUACUAGUUGGACCAGAAAAGGAUUUGAAUUGGGUCUUGAACUAGGAUCAUCGAGGCUUCUUCAAUCAAACCAUCCCUGAAAAUGAGCUCACAUUGUCACACAUCGAAAGUUGAAGGUCAAUUGGUUCCAAAGUUGAAGUUGAUUAGACCAAUGACGUCCCACCCCAUGCAUGUGGCCACGCCACGUUGUGGUGAUUAGUGGUACCAUCACAUGAUAGUGAGUUGUUAUUUGUGAUCACCACUCCAUGUUCAAGAAUCAAAAGGGUUUUCCAUGUAGAUAAUGUUUUUCCAUAUGCGCUAAUAAUCUAUUGCACAAAUACAAAACUCUCCAUUAUCUCUUUAGCAAAUGCACUUUUUAUGAUUUAUGCGCGUUUUUUUUUUCUCGUUUCUUACUUAUCUUUUGUUAUUUUUAUUCAAAUCGAAUGAAUUUAAAAAUUAAUAAACAUGAGUCUGACCAAAAUUUUAUUUAUUAAUUCAUCAUACAAGGGGAUGAAGCUUAACUUUUGUAUGAAGUGAGUAUAUGAUAAGUUAUUGACUUGAUCAAAAUGAAGUAUGAGAUAUCAUCACUACUAAAUUAAACAGUUUGCGCGACUAUGGACAUUUUGUCGCGCAAAAAAUUAUUUGGUCGCACAUAAACUAUGGCGACCAGAAAAUCAUCGCGCAUAUUUUGUCGCGCAAAGCUCAUGAAAAAAGACAUUGCGCGACGAACAUCUUCAAAUUUGUCGCGUGUCUUAACAAUUGCGCGGCGCAUUACUAGUCGUCGCGCGAAAGUUAUACGGACAAAGGUUUUCGUCGUACGAUUUAAACGAGUACAAGUGCGUUUGUGGGUAAUUUGUCUCAAAACUUUUUGCGCGACGAAAUCUAUAGUAGGCGCGUGGUAAUGCACAAUGAAGAGUAAGACGCGCGUAAUUUUGCGCGACGACAUUUCGUCGUCGCACACGUGUAAUUUUUAAUAAAAAAAUAGAAUAAAAGGAAAAAAAAAACAGAUUUCAUACUAAUGACAUGAGAAAGAAAAAAAAAAGCAAAUUAAUGAAUAAUUUUUUUAUUAUUUAUAAUAUAAAUAAAAAUGUACGUACAAAUAUAAAGUAAAAAAAACGGAACAAAACUACAAAAAUAAAGAGGCAAAAUCUAUAGGCAUGUCAUUCAGAGGUGCUUGGUAAUCUUGCUGCUGGUUGGGGACAGGGUCGGAGGUCAACGGGCCUGAUUGUUGUGCUUGCUCGGUGUGGAAGGGCUGUGAGGGCGAUGGUGUAGAAAAACCGGGGAGAUGUAUUCCAGAGGAACUGAGGGCUUGUACAAGCAUUGACAUUUGAGACUUGAACGAUGCUAGCUCACUCCUUAGCCCAGCGACUUCCUGCGUCAAAGUCGUAACCUUGGUCUUUAACUACGAGGAUGAUGAGGCUCCAGUUUCCCGACGCCUGGCAUUUCUCAUCCCCCGACAAUAUGUCCCUGGCCUUUGACCGAAAGUUUGGUCCAACGUCUCUGUGACGAUGUGAAACCCUGCAUUCUCAGGGGGAUCCAUAGACUCGAUCGACGUGUCCGAGGGAAGGUGGGAGGCAAACUCCUGAAGCACCACUUGUCGCUUCUCCACCAUAGUUGCCUGUGAAAAAAACACAUGGAUUAUUAAUAGAAAACAAUUUGAAAGAAUUAGUAUAAAUGUUUAAUGCAUAAGAAAUUACUUAUAUGAAGAGACUGGGUUAACUCAUUCCUAGGCCGAACAUAAACGUCAGCAAAGACAUCAAUCUUCGGAAAUUUUGAACCCUCCUAAAAUCGAAAAAGAUAAGGAAAAUGUUAGUACGAAAAAAAAAAUUAUUAGCGACAUUUUAAAAUUGGAAAUGAAAGUUGUAAUAUAUAUCUUCCGUCACACCUCCAUCCUAUAGGAGAAAGGCCUCGAACCCGAAUGAUGGAGAAGAGUCUUUUUCUCUCGAUUGAUCCUGUUCGCCUUCGCCUUCUUCUGUUAUACAAAAAAUAAACGUAUUAGUUGUAAUAGUUAAAGAAAAUUUAAAAAAAUUAAUAAUAAACAUUGUUAAAAAAUAAAAAAAGUAAAAUGAAAGAAGUCAUCAUUAAAAACGCACCACAUAUGUCGGGUCCUUAAAAUAACCGCAAAGCCAAACCCAACUAUCUUGUCGGUCCUCCAACUUCUUCGGACAUCCCUCCUCAAGAGCGACCUACGGAUCAUCAAACUCCUAAAACCAUUGGUGCAAGUCACUCUUCCACUGCUUGUAGCGUUCGGAGAAGAGCCGAUUGACAUAUGCGAACUUGUCCUCGUCCAUGUGCUCCAAAUUGUAGUUUGUCUGCAAUAUAACAAAUAUUUUGAAAGCAUUAGUAAUAAAAGACAUUAAUACAUAUAAAUAUAUAAAUUUUACAUGAAAAGCAUUAAAAAGGCGAUGCUACUUACGGACAAUUGAUUGCGCACCAUAAUCUUCGUCUCCUCCAUCAUCGCCUUCCAAGACUUCCACAGCAUAGGGCAAAAGGUCCGCACAACAUGCCCAAUGUCAUGGGCCAAUGCACUAUGUUAGUUCGCCGUUAGUGCUGCCCGAUGUCGCUUAACGUAUCCGAUUAGGAUACGACCGUUGGUCACCCGGGUGACCUUCCCCGUCUUCAAUUGCUGACAAGGUCCCCGGGUGUGUUUCUUCGCUGCAAAUAGAUGAAAAAAAAAAUCAUUAACCCAUAACUAAUAACAAAUCCUACUUAAAUUUCGGCAUAACCUCCCCUAUAAUUAAAACAUUUCCCAAAACCUUGAAAAUAACAUAAACAAUAUACAUAUCCAACAUAAUAAUCACAACAGUUUAAUAAAAGGUUCGGAAUGAUGAAAAAAUUUUAAUCCUUACAUGACAUAACAAAUUGAACCUAAAAUAAAAAAACUUAGUAAACAAGGGAAUGAGGGAGUGAAUUAGGAUUGUAUACCUGACCAUGUACCGAAGGCAUCGGUUAGGGAUCCCGAUGGCGACAUCUGUUCCACAGUGCGGGGGCGUCGAUGAGUUCGUCUGGCGUUAAUAGGUAACGCCACCGAAGAAGUUGACGAUGUCUAUGCCUGUGGAACUGGAGGACCAUCUGAGUGAACCGGAUUGACCGGCCUAUGGUCCAUCUCUGUCGGAGCAGUGGCAGCAGUAGUAGGUAUAGUCGUCAGACUAGGUGUAGAAGUCAUCGGCCUCCGAGUUCUAAUGAGGUGAGACAUCUACAAAAUUGGCAAUCAAUUUGUUUAGUACACAAAGAUUUUGAUUAUGUUUUCACAUGCUUACAACUUCAAUGGCUACAAAAGGAUUGCUAAUUGUUGAUUUGAUUUCAAAUUAACUUGUUAACUUAAAUAAACAUAUGGGAAUUCCAGUCCAUUGGCUGGUCAAAAGCAUUUUCUGAAUGCAUAUGGGCAGAUUCAAUGACUUUGGAGAUGUAGAAAUAUGAAAAUAAUUGAAACAUUCCCAUCAUAACAAAGUUCAUGUGCUCUGCGAUUUGCAGCAAAAGAAGUUUGCUAAUACCUCUCAUGAAAAUCUAAUAUAUAUAUAUAUAUAUAUAUAUCGUAGCAAAAGAAGUUUGUUAAUACCUCUCAUGAAAAUCUAAUAUAUAUAUAUAUAUAUAUAUAUAUAUAUAUAUAUAAUCUAAACUAUAAUGGAGGAAUUCAAAUUAUUGUGCAAAAAAGAAAGAUUAAUAUCAAAAUGUAAAUGUAACUUCAAAAUUGGGAUGCCGAAUUCAACAAGCAACACAAUCGAGUCUAUCAUAUUAAUAAGGCAACAACAAAGGGUAAUACCCCAUUAUAUAUCAACAAAUCGUGGCAAUCAACAAUGCAAAUCCUUAAUUUAAGAACCCUGUACUUAAAUUAGAAAACCCCUAAUUCGAACCCUGUAUUUGAAAUUAAAAAACCCCUAAUUUAAGAACCUUAAUCUAACCCCCAGUGAAGCACCCUAAAUCUAACCCCCAAUUUAAGAAAACCUAAUCUAACCUCAUUGCCCAAAAUCGUUCCCCUAAGAUAAGACCUAAAUCCAACCCCAAUUAAGAACCCUAAAAACUCUAAUUUAAGAACCUAAAUGUAACCUCCAAUUUACGAACCCUAAAUCUAACCCCACCGCCCCUAAUUUGAAAAAAAUAAAAACCCUAAUUCUAACCCCCAGUCAAUAAACAAAAUUGAAACUAAAAACUGAAAAGGAAAUUACCUAUUGGAGAAAAAGAGGCGAUGGACCGAGAGAGGGAUGGAGAGACGAGGUGAGUGAAGGAGAGACAAACGAAGAUAGAUAGGAAGGAAAGAUAGGGUAUCGCGCGGGGAAAAAAGGAAGAAGAGGGAAGUAAGGGAGGAACGAGACGCACGGGGGUUAAUAAUAUAGAAUAUUACGUGACGGAGUGUUCGUCUCGCAAGGCUAAACAAUCGUCGCGCAAGUUUUUUAAAAUUUCCGCAAAAAAAACGCUUUAUUUGAAUUUUCAGACAAUUGUGCGACGAAUCAAUAUAUUUCGUAGUGCAAGUUUUUAAAAUUUCCGCGAAAAAGCACUUUAAUUGAAUUUUUAGACACGUGGGUGACGAAUACAUAUAUUUCAUCGCGCAAAGUAUAUUUGUGCGACCAAAAAAAUUUUACGCGUCACGCAAUUGUGUUUUAAAUUGGUUUUUUUUUUAUUAUUUUGUUUACAAUUUAUUAUAAAAUACAAACAAAACAACUUUAAAUACAAAGUAAUUCACAUAUAAAAUGGGAAUCAUUCAUACCAUUUUUUUCAUCACUCUAUAUAAUGCAUUAAACAUUUCAUGUGUUUUACAAAAAAAUUACAAAUAAAUUGCCUUAAUCUUAAUCCGAACUAUAAUAACUUUCACUUUCGUCGCUAUCAUCAUUUUGAGUGUCACAUUCCUUAUCAUCGAUAGGUACGUCACCAUCGUUGUUCGUGCGCACUGGACCAUCGUAUCGUGGAAUAUUACCAAGGUCAAUCGUGAUGAACUGAAUCAGUAUUUCGAUUGAAGAUACUCCAUCUAUCUGAAAUGGUUCUUGGAUAAAAUUAGUAUCUCGGAGUGUUUCCGCAUCACUUUCCAUGAAAGAUUCAAGACGUUGGUCAGCAACAUUGUUGAUGUCGUCGUCAGUACGGUCUUGUUCUGGUAUAGCAUACACAUUCCUAUGAUCCAUCUUCUGAACAACUUUCCAACCCUGGAUUUAGGGUCAUCUAGAUACACAAUUUGUUUUGCCAUGGUUGCUAAUAUGUAAGAGUCGUCAUUGUACCAAGUUUUGGUAGUGUUCAUUGAUAGUAAUCCAUGAUUUGUUUUCACACUUCCAUGCCUAUUCGGGUGUGUAUCAAACCAUCGACACUUAAAUAAGAUCACCUGGCACCGGUCUUUAUAAAGUAAUUACACGACACUUAUUAAUUUGCCAUAGAAUUCAAUGUCUGUACUUUCGCCUCCUCCGGGGACAUGAACACCGCUGUUUUGUGUACACAACUUGUCAUUUCGUGCACCCGCUAAGAACUUGACGCCAUUGACAUGGCAGCCCGAGUACAAUUCAACGCGAAUUGGUCCGAACGCUAAGUUAUAUAACUCUUCACUGUACGCAGGGGAAUUCGAUGUUGUCAGUUGAUUCACCUAAUAUUAAACAAACAUUUAAAUUUGUUAGUUCAAGCAACUUAAUUGGUACAAUAUAUAUGUCCAAUACAAAACACUUCAAACUUACAUAUUCGAGAAACCACUGCGGAAAUAAUUCACGGUGUUUCUUGGCAUACAAAUGUGAAGGAUGUGCCUGCUUCAUCAUAUUUUCAUGCUCGUCUAGGUGUGACAGUGUCUCAUCACAAUUGUUGAGUACGAACCAAUGUGCUACAUCCAUGUUCUUCUUGGAAAACGACUCACCACAAAUCGGAUCUCCGAAUGGUCGAGCGACCUAGGCAAAAAUUGAAAGUUUCUCCUUUCUCACACCCCCGUCAUUAUUGUGAGGAUGAUGAUUGAAAGUUGUCUCAACAUCUUUUAAAUACAUUCCAGAAAAUGUAAGUGCCUCAUAUGACACCCAAGCUUGUAUAAUGAAUCAUUCGGGCUUCGCUUUGUUUCGUACACUUUUCUUCAAGUCUUCGAGAAGCAUGCCAAAAGGAAAUGAUACGAUACACAUAUUACUAAUCGUAAUAUAUUUAAUAUCGAUUAAUAAAAAAGACGAGGAAUAUAUACCUUUCUAUUUGAUACAUCCAUCGAAAGUUGACUGGUCCAGCAAGCAAUGCCUCAUCUGGUAAGUGAACCAUCACGUGUAUCAUACUUGUGAAGAAGGCUGGAGGAAAUAUCAUCUCAAACUUGCAUAGAACUUGCACAAUGUCAUGGCGCAACUGAUUAAUGUCCGUUCUUCGUAACGUUCUUGACGUCAAUUGCGAAAAAAAACUAGACAACAUGAUUGGUUUCACUACAUCAGGUGGCAAGAGAUGUCGAAUACCCAUAGGAAGUAGGCGUUGCAGAACCACAUGGUAGUCAUGACUCUUUAAGCCAGCUAAUUUACCCCCGUCAACGUUCACGCAACGCACGAUAUUUAAAGCAUACCCAUCGAGAAACUUUACAGACGAUAAAAACUUUAAAAAUUCUUUCUUGUCAUUCGAUUUCAUUGAAAAAAAUGCAAGAUCCCUUCUGGCUUUAUCAUUGUCCCUAUUCAUCCAUAAACCCCGUCGUAUUUCCAUUCGUUCCAAAUCAAGACGAGCUUUGAUUGUGUCCUUUGUCUUGCCUUCAAUAUCUAUAAUUGUGCCGACCAAUGUAUCAAAUACAUUUUUCUCAACAUGCAUAACAUCGAGGUUGUGUCUCAAUUUUAGUUUAGACCAAUAUGAGAGCUCAAAAAACAUAGACUUGUGUGUCCAGUUCAUAUGUGUAGCAGGUCUUGUCCUAGUGACAUUGGUCCUAAAAUGAGCAAAAUCCAAACUGUUAAGCUGUUCCAAAAUAUGAGAACCAAACCAUUCUCUGAGUCUAAGGUGAUGCUCUUUCUCCCCGUCAAACUCUUUAUCCUUCUCUCGCCACUCAUGGUCCCAAGGCAACCAUCUUCGAUGACCAAGGUAACAAACUUUUCUAGCGUGCCAACUAGAUGUUACGUCUUCCUUGCAUACAGAGCAUGCCAUAUAACCCCUAGUGCUCUAUCCGGAAACCAUUGCAUAUGCGGGGAAAUUGUUCACAGUCCACAUCACUACAGCCCGUAAAGUGAACAUCUUGCCAGUACAUUUAUCUUAUGUGCACACACUGUGUGUCCAUAAAUCUUUUAGCUCAUCCACAAACGACCGUAAGUAUACAUCGAUUGACCUACCAGGAUCCUCAGUUAUCAAUAGAGUCAUCAUCAUGUAUUCUUUUUUCAUACAUUUCCAUGGUGGCAAAUUAUACGGAAAUAUGAAAAUUGGCCAAGUACUGUGGUGUUGGUUUAAAACCCUAAACGGAUUAAAUCCAUCAGUGGCAAGUCUCAAUUUAACGUUACGAGAAUCAGCAGCAAACUCGAGGAACAUUCAAUCUAACUCUUUCCAUGCCUCCCCAUCUGCAGGAUGUCGUAUCACAUCGUCGUCUACCCGUUUUUUCUUAUGUCAUCUCAUGUCUGUGGCAGCAUGCAACAACAUAUACAAUCACUGCAACCUAGGUUUCAGGGGCAGAUAACGCAUGACUUUUUGUGGGAUCUUAGUGGUUCUAUUAUGAGAUGUCAUUUUGAACCUUGACUCAUUGCAUAUAGGGCAUUUAUCCAAUGUUUUAUACUCUUCGUAGAAUAAAAUACAAUUGUUUUUGCAAGCAUGAAUUUUUUUCAUAACCUAAUCCAAGACCUUUCAACACCUUUUGCGCGUCUCUAUGGUCUUUCGGCAAACAAUUGUCCUUCGGAAGCAUUCUCUUGAAAACCCCUAAAAAGUAAUCGAAACACUGGUUCGACAUACGAUGCUUUAUUUUUCCAUGCAUUAGUUCCACAAUGGCCGUGAGAACGAAAAAGCUUUCGCACCCCGAGUAUAACUCUUGGUUGGCAUUUUUUAAUAGUUUUUUUAUAUUGUUCGAACUCUGCACUGUCCAUUAGUGUAGGCAUGUCAUCUUCCCCUUCGUGAUUGGUGUUUGUCGAUGCAAAUGGAAAAACAUCAUUUAUAAUAUCCAUGACUUGUUCAUUAGGAUCGACAAUAGGUUCAACAUUAUCCACUCUUGUGGCAUACGAAGACGAAGCAUUGUCUAAUUGUUCCCCAUGAUGGUUCCAAGUAUUAUAUGUCUCAAUCAUUCCAUUCCUUACUAAAUGAAAUCGAACAUUUUCUAUUGUCUCCCUUAACGUGUUGUUACACCUCCUACAAGGACACCGGAUUUUAGUUGCACCCGAGUUGUGUGUACUUGCAAAGUCAAUAAAAUCCUCGAUUCUAUCCAAGUAUUCGUCCGUGCAUCUAUUCGGGUUCUGUAUCCACGUCCUGUCCAUAAUUCCUGGAACCACAAUAACAAUACAACAAUCACAAUACAAUAAUCACAACAACUUCAUACAAACUGAUAAUGUCACCUUAUGCCUCCGGCAGGGGCCCUAUCUCAUUCGAGAAUGCAUAGUUAUGUCACGUAAUUUACGGCUACAUCAGAUUAGAUUUCGACGUGGAUGAAUUUCGGCAGCAUCUCGAUACAGUUUUUCAGGUGUACGACCCGAAGAAUGUACAGAGAUGAUACUGAAAUCUCCACAACCGAAACCUAAUCCUUCAACCAUAAACUACGCAUCAUAACUGUGCAUUCCCAAAAUGUCCAAAUAAUGGGACAAUUCAAGAAUUAAUUGGACCGCAGUCAUGCUUUCGCAUCCAUGCGCGAAAUCCAACUAAUCCUUAAACGGGAAACUAAGUUUUACUAAAAAUAAAAAACAAGUACGAAGUUAAUUUCAAUUAACUCCGUAGAUCACAACACAUAUUUGUACGUCAAGUACAAAUUUAACAACAUAAUAUAAAUAUAAUUUCAGAGCACAAUAUAAACAUAACAAACUAAGUUCAACAUAAUUUAAUUAAUGGUGUAUGUUUAAAAAAUAAAACAAAGAAAUUACCUUCUCAAUCGUUAUCCACCAAUCGCUAAUCACACACAAUAUCCCUAUAGAGAAUGAAAUUAAUGGCGUUAGUAUGAAUUUACAUUAAUACUUUUACCGUAACGACAAAAAACGCUUACCAGACACACCGAGAUAGCUCGAUCAACCUAGAGAAGAUGGACGGAGUAGUUUAGAUGAUGAAAUUGAGAGAAAAUCAAAAUGAAGGAUACCAGAUUCAGCAAAAUCGCAGGGAUGAGUGUAGAGGCACAAUCUGCAAAUUUUUUGGAGUUUGCCUCUGCACAAGGCUGAUUUAAAGAUGAACGAUUUUGCGUGACGAAUAAUAUGUUAGUCGAGCAAAGAACCUUUGAGCGACAAAGAAAACUUUUUCGUCGCGCAAAUAUUUCUUGCACGACAAACGUUUGUAUUCGUCGCUCAAAUGUUAUUUGUGCGACGAAAGAAGACGUUCGUCGUGCUAGAAAUAUAUAUUUUUUAUUUUUUAUGUUUUCCUUCUUUAUUUCUAUGUACUGUAAAUUUUUAUUUUAUUAUAAAUCAAAAACUCAAACCUAAUUAAACUUUAAAUUAAUUAACAAAACUAAUUUAUGAUCCCAAAUAAAAAUUAUAAUUAGUACAAAUAUUAAUACUCAUCCACAUAACAUAUAUUUAUUCAUUAAAUUCAACAUAAAGUCCACAAAAUCUUAUUUUUAAAAAAUAAAAAUAAAAAAUAAAAACCCUCAUCAACUUCAAUCCUCCCUGGCCUACAACACAUCAAACUUCCACUUCCGAAAUCUCUGCUUGAAAAGCCCAAUGACAUAAAUCCAUUGUGUCUCAUCGGUUUCAUCAAUAUCCCAAUGAACCUACAUUAAUGUCAAUAACAAUAAAUUAGUAAUUUAAAAAAUAUUACGUUUUAUCAAAAAUAAUUUUUCAAUAUUUACCAUAAAUUUACCGAUAACUCUCCCAGCAUGGACUUCUUCAGCUCCUCAGGGAUCUUUUUCCAAGACUCAAACUCGGCAGAACAAUCCAUCUGCACCAAAUUCCCAAUGUCAUAAAUGAAUUCGGCAUACACCUCAGCCAAAUUUUUGCCUUCAAAGUACGGCACUUGCUUCCGUCGGUACCUCUCUACUCGCACUACAACUUUCUUUUUCCCAGAACCUUCCCCGGAAUCGGCCAUUCUUUUUUAAACAAAAAAAUUUUGAAAACUUCGACUCUGAAACUGUGUUUAUAUAGCACUCGGACAACUUUGCGCGACGAAAUAGUCGUCGCGUAAAACUAUAACCCGUCACGCAAAAUGCGUCAUUAAUGAGCAAUAAAUUGGAAGGUUUGAACGCAUUCAGACAGCGCACUGCGCGACAAACACAUGUAUUCAUCGCGCAAGGUGUAUUUGAGUGACGAAUUAUCGUCGCGCAAUAUACUGAUAGUUCAUCCAUCACAAGCUUUUUCACAUUUCCUAACACAUCUUUCCAAGAACGCCACUCAGCAAUGGGGCAAUUAUUCCUCAUAGCUACAGCAAUUGCACGAGCAAACACAAAAUGUUCUCUCAUAUCAUGCGCGUCGGCCUUGCGCACACUCUUGUUGUUUUUAUCCGCCAUCUCAGCACGAACAGAAUUGUGAAGAAAAUGACAGUAGAAGCGCCUAUUUGUAGCAAAGUUAGGAUCUUUGCGCGACGAACUCUUUGUUGCGCAAACAUCUACAUUAAAUAGCCUCAGAUUUACCUUGUUGAUGCAUAAAAUCAGUGAGGACUUUGGUACAACAAAAAGUGUUAAGUUUGUGACCUUCGCUAGAUUGCUCCGGUCACUAGUAUGGAUAAGUAUGUAAAUGGAUAGAGAUAGGGAAGCAAACACAAGAUGUAUGUGGUUCACCCUGAUUGGCUACAUCCACGGAGUAGAGGAGUUCUCAUUAAUUGUGAAGGGUUUACACAAGUACAUAGGUCCAAGCUCUCAUUUAGUGAGUACAAAUAUUGUGAGAGAAUGAUCUCUAUUUAUAGAAGAGAGUUUCUAGUUUCUUUCUGAUAUUGACACGUGUCGUGUUGUGAUUGGCUUCUGAUGUUGACACGUGUCGCGCUAUGAUUGGCUUCCUGGUUGGAGGGAAACUCUUCUGGGUCCUUGAUGGUAUAACAUUGACCGUGCUCAGUAGUUUCAGGAUUGGUCAAGUAUGGUACAAACAGUGCUCCCCUAAGGUCCCGAGUGAGGGAAGCUUCUCGGUUGGGGACUUGCAAGAUCCAAGCCAUUGAGUAAUCACGAAACUUCUAAGUACCGAAGUGUGGUAUCAUUUUCACUUACCUUAUCUGUCUCAUAUGUAGAUGUGGCAUCUUCUCUGGAAGUACUUUUCCUCCAUCCAGGGGUGGUAUCUUUAAUCGAUGAAGAUGCACAAGGUAAUGUAUCAAUUUCACUUGAAGCUUACUUGUAGUUUCGGGCUUAGUCAAGUGCGAUACAAACCCUAUAGUAGGAGUCCCCCAAGUCACCGAGCUAGGAGAUUUACCGAAUGAGGUAACAGACAAGGUAAGCAAUCAGACUUCCAAGCAAGCAACCUGGAUCGGAGGUUGGACUUCGGUUUCCGGUUAAUUGUUCUCAUUCUCCUUGUGUCGUAAACAACAACAAGGAUAAGGAGAAGCAAAUGGAGAAGAGAUGAUAUGAGAUACUUUUGCUUUUGAAGAAGUAACUUUCCACAGGCUUAUUCUUGAACUGGGUUGGAAGGUUUUCUAGUUUCCUCCAGAGUAUAAGGCCGACUCAAGAAUUUGAGGGUCAAAACAAGUCCAUCAAAUCUAGAGUAUGUUUGACCUUGAUGAUAUGUGAUACUUUUGCUGUUGACAAAGUAGUGGAUGUAUCGGCACGUGUUCUAUUACGCUUGUCUCCACAUGUUUCCUUGUAUCCUUCUCACUUACCCUAUCUGUUCUUCAGGCAGACGUGGUAUCUUCUCUGGAAGCAUAAGAUGUUGAAGAUGAGUACUCAAGAGCAAUGUCAGAUAAGUAAUCAGGCAAGGGGUUCCAGGCAGUCAGUUCCUAACUGGAAGCUUGAUUCCAAGUGCUGACUGAUUACUCUCUUUCUUCUUAUCUUACAGGUAAGAACAAGGCCAAAGGAAAAGACAGGUGAAAAGCAUGAUAUGGGAUACUCUUGCUUUUAACCUUGAUGAUAUGAGAUACUCUUGCUCUGGUGUAGCUUGUUUGCAGAGGUAUUAUCAGGAGGAAAAGAAGCUAAGUAUUUUGAGAGACUCUGCUGAGAGUGCCCUCUCGGAUGUGAAGAAAAGUUGAGCAUUUUUUUUAUUUGCAGGUCUACUUGGCUGUGGAGGAUGAAGGUCGACAUAUAUAGGAGUCUCCCUAACAACAAGUAGUAGUGCUAUUCAUUUACCCUUCUUGGUCAUAGCAAUGUAGUGGGAGCUGCAAGCUUCACGUGUUUUAACUUUGUCAGAGCACUUUGAAAAAUUGGUCUGUGGUAUCUGGAAAGCUGAUGUUGCGUGUGAAGAUGGGAGAUAAGCUUUAUCCAAGGAAAUCUGGCUCUCGAAGUUUGGAUAGCGAUGCCUCUUCGGUUUUCGAACAAGCAAUCUUAUCGGGGAUUUGGCUCUCGGGAUUCAGAGAACGAUGCCUCUUUCAUUUUUAAGAAAGCAAUCCUGUUGGGAGUCUGACUCUUGAGAUUCGCAGAGCAGUGUCUCUUCGAUUUUUAAGAAAGUAAUCCUGUUGGGAGUCUGGCUCUCGAGAUUCGGAAGGCGGUGCCUCUUCGAUUUUUGAGCACGUAAUCCUGUUGGGAGUUUGGCUCUCGAGAUUCAGAGAGCAGUGUCUCUUCGAUUUUUGAGAAAAUAAUCAUGUUGGGAGUCUGGCACUUGAGAUUCGGAGAGUGGUGCCUCUUCGAUUUUUGAGCAAGCAAUCUUGUUGGGAGUGUUUUCUCAAAUAUGAGUAAAGGUUGGGCAUUUUUGCUAGUCUGCCUUGCCACGGAGCACGGAGGUUGACACACAUUAGGACUUUCUAGUUAUCAAGCAAUGGUGCUGUUCCUUUACCCUUGUGGGUAAUAGUAGGGUAGCUGGACCUUCAAAAUUUAUGUGUCUAAACUUUGUCAGAGAUCUUUGGCAAAGUUAUCUGUGGUACCCGAGAAGUUGAUGUUACAUGUGGAAAGUGGUGCCUCUUCGGAAUCUGGAGAGUGGUGCCUCUUCGAUUUUUGAACCAACGGCCCUGUUGCCUUUUCUUUUAUAAGGGCACCAAUUGUGUGCAAGAAGUACAUUUAGAGAGUUAUUGCUUGUAGGAAUUCUCCCCUUACUUCAGAGAUUUAUUGCACCUCAUUUCUCCUUCAUCAUUUCUGAGAAUGUCUGGCCCAUCUGAUCGUCGUUUUAACUUGAACUUUGGUGAAGAGGUAGCCAUGCCUUCUCAAGCCAACAUAUGACGCCCAUCCUUCUUAUCCCCUACUGGUCCUCUUACCGUUGGGGACUCUGUGAUGAAGAAUGAUAUGACCGCUGCGGUGGUGUCCAAGAACCUUCUCACUCCCAAAGAUAAUAGACUAUUUUCCAAACAGUCUGAUGAGUUGGCUGUUAAGGAUUCUCUUGCUCUCAGUGUUCAGUGUGCAGGUUCUGUGUCUAAUAUGGCCCAACGCCUAUUUGCUCGAACCCGCCAAGUUGAAUCAAUGGCGGCUGAAGUGAUAAGUCUCAAACAGGAGAUCAGAGGGCUCAAGCAUGAGAAUAAACAGUUGCACAGGCUCGCACAUGACUAUGCUACAAACAUGAAGAGGAAGCUUGACCAGCUGCAGGAAUCUGAUGGUCAGAUUUUACUUGAUCAUCAGAGGUUUGUGGGUUUGUUCCAAAGGCAUUUAUUGCCUUCGUCUUCUAGGGUUGUACUGCGUAAUGAAGCUCCAAAUGAUCAACCUUCGUUGCCUCCUCCUUCUAGGGUUCUGCCUAGUACUGAGGCUCCGAAUGAUCACCCUUCGGUGCCUACUCUUUCUGGGGCUCUGCCGACUGCUGAGACUUCUCAUGAGCAACCUUUGUGAAGGCUCUCUCUUGUUUGUUUAUUUUGAUUCAUGUAUAUGUACAUAUUUGUAACUUAUCGGAGAUAUCAAUAAACAAGCUUUGCUUCAUUUCAACGUAUUGUGUUAAAUACACCAAGGCCUUCUUCACUAAGUUCUUUGAAUUUUUUCUUUUGUUGAAGCUUGUAUGUUGAACCUUUGAGAGUGAAGCAUGUAUGUUGAGGUAGUGCUUUCUUAAUUUCCCGAGUGAGGAAAACUUCUCGGUUGGAGACUUGAAAAAUCCAAGUCCAUGAGUGGUCGUGAGACUUCUGAGUAUCAAGGUGCAGUAGCAUAUGGUAGGUGUCCCCCAAGUCUCCGGUAGAGGGAGUUGACGAAUGAGGCAUUUCCUUUCUAAGUGGUAGCCCAAAACUCCUCCUUCAUAUAUAUUUGUUAUGAAAGUUGUUUGGCCUAAAGAAGAGGAGGCCUAGGCAAUUUUUUUUUUCUUUUCGAAUUUUCAAAUUUUCGAAUUUUUGAAUUUUUGAAUUUCCGAAAAUAUAUAUAUAUUAAGCUUUGUAGGUGAAGCUUUGGUGUUGAAGCUUUGUAGGUGAAGCUUUGAGCUUUGAAGUUGAAGCUUUGUUGGGCACCAAGAAUUGAUUUUGCUUCACACUAUCUUGAACAAGAUAGUGUGAAGCUUUUGUAGGUGAAGCUUUUGUGUUGAAGCUUUGUAGGUGAAGCUUUUGUGGGUUAAGCUUUUGUGGGUUAAGCUUUUGUAGGUGAAGUUUUUGUGGGUCAAGUUUUUGUAGGUCAAGCUUUUGUGGGUCAAGCUUUUGUGGGUCAAGCUUUUAUGGGUAAAGCUUUUUUAGGUCAAGCUUUUGUGGGUCAAGCUUUUGUGUUGAAGCUUUUGUUGGUGAAGCUUUUGUGGUGAAGCUUUGUUGGGUACCACGAAUUGAUUUUGCUUCACACUAUCUUGAUCAAGAUAGUGUGAAGCUUUUGAGAAUUUGUAGUUGUCCUCCAUUGAUGAAGCUUUGUUGAAUUUCCCUUUUUUUUUCUUUUUUUUCUUUUUUUGGGAAACUAGAAAUUUGAAAAUGUGGGAGAGACAACAUAUACAAAUUUUGCUUCCAUACUGUUGAGCAAGAGAUUGUGAUGCAAGCCACACCUUGUAGUAGUCGAAGGUUUGGAUGAACCAUAUAAAUUGAAUUUGCUUCGAACAGUCUUGAAUUUGCUUCGAAUGUUUAAGAAUUGUAGUUGCCCUCCAUUGAUGAAGCUUUUGUUGGCACCAUAAAUUGGUUUUGCUUCAUAUUGUCUUGAUCAAGAGUGUGUGAAGCUUUUGAGAAUUGUGGUUGAACUCAUUUGAUGAAGCUUUUGUUGGCACCAUAAAUUGGUUUUGCUUCACACUGUUUUGAUCAAGAGUGUGAAGCUUUUGAGAAUUGUGGUUGCCCUCUAUUGAUGAAGCUCUUGUUGGCACCAUAAAUUGGUUUUGCUUCACACUGUCUUGAUUAAGAGUGUGUGAUGCUUUUGAGAAUUAUGGUUAAACUCCUUUGAUGAAGCUCUUGUUGGCACCAUAAAUUGGUGUUGCUUCACACUGUGUUGAUCAAUAGUGUGUGAAGCUUUUAAGAAUUAUGGUUGCCCUCCAUUGAUGAAGCUUUUGUUGGCACCAUAAAUUGGUUUUGCUUCACACUGUCUUGAUCAAGAGUGUGUGAAGCUUUUAAGAAUUGUGGUUGCCCUCUAUUGAUGAAGCUCUUGUUGGCACCAUAAAUUGGUUUUGCUUCACAUUGUCUUGCUCAAGAGUGUGUGAAGCUUUUGAGAAUUGUGGUUGCCCUCCAUUGAUGAUGCUCUUGUUGGCACCAUAAAUUGGUUUUGCUUCACAUUGUCUUGAUCAAGAGUUUGUGAAGCUUUUGAGAAUUGUGGUUGCCCUCUAUUGAUGAAGCAUUUGUUGGCACCAUAAAUUGGUUUUGCUUCACACUGUCUUGAUCAAAAGUGUGUGAAGCUUUUGAGAAUUGUGGUUGAACUCCUUUGAUGAAGCUAUUGUUGGCACCAUAAAUUGGUUCUACUUCACACUUGUCUUGAUCAGGAGUGUGUGAAGCUUUCUACGAGUUGUAGUGUUUGCAUUGUUACAGACGGUAAAUUUUUGAAGCAUAUGCAAGAUGGCUGAAUAGCUUGAUCUUCGUAUGCCAUGCACUAAAGUUGUUGUUGGCUUGCAAUAAAACUUUGUUGGUGACUAUAACUCUUGUUGGGCAUAAAUGAUCCCCUAGUUGAGUUGUCAAGCUUGAGGGUUUUUGAUUAUUUGUGAAUGCUAGGAGUUCGCAUGUACAAGUUGUACCACUCGUCUUCUGGUAGGUGGAAUGAAUGGUGAAUUGCUUUCAUCACUUGGUUGGUGGUAGGAAGGUGAGUUCCUUUAUCACCUUUCAUCACAUUUCAUCACCUGGUUGGUGGCACGAGGAUAAGUUCCUUCUUCCUCUGGUUGGUUGCAUGAAUGGCAAGUUGCCAAAUGAUAUUAGAGUACGGGUUGUACAUUUCAUCACCUGGUUGGUGGUAUGAAGAUAAGUUCAUUCUUCACCUGGUUGGUGGCAUGAGUGGCAAGUUGCCAAAUGAUAUUAGAGUAUGGGUUAUACAUUUCAUCACCUGGUUGGUGACAUGAAGAAGAGUACGGGUUGUACAUUUCAUCACCUGGUUGGUGGCAUGAAUGACAAGUUGCCAAAUGAUAUUAGAGUAUGGGUUGUACAUUUCAUCACCUGGUUGGUGGCAUAAAGAUGAGUUCCUUCUUCACCUGGUUGGUGGCAUGAGUGGCAAGUUGCCAAAUGAUAUUAGUGUAAGGGUUGUACGUUUCAUCACCUGGUUGGUGGCAUGAAUGAGAGUACGAGUUGUACAUUUUAUCACCUGGUUGGUGGUGUGAAGGAGAGUACGGGUUGUACAUUUCAUCACCUGGUUGGUGGUAUGAAGAUGAGUUCCUUCUUCACCUGGUUGGUGGCAUGAGUGGCAAGUUGCCAAAUGAUAUUAGAGUAUGGGUUGUACAUUUCAUCACCUGGUUGGUGGCAUGAAGGAGAGUACGGGUUGUAUAUUUCAUCACCUGGUUGGUGGCACAAAGAUGAGUUCCUUCUUCACCUUUCAUCCCCUGGUUAGUGAGAAUAAAGGCAAGGUGUCUAGGCACAUUGUAGCAAGUGUCAAAUGACACAAAGUAUGUUGAACCCUUUCAAAGCACAGUUGGCUUAUGUAUAAAUGUGUUGGAGUGUAUGAUUGAACGAAUGUACUGUGAAGCUGAUCAUUUAGUUGUAUAGUCUUGUUGACAUAUACUUAGACUUUGUUUCAUGUUGGAAGCAUUCAUGUUGAAGCUUUGAACCAGAGUGUUUCAUUGCUAUGAAUGUAAGAGGAUUAGGACCGAGUUGUCUAAAUCACAUCUUUAUUGAAUUCAUGCCAAAUAGUCUUCGUUACAUAAGAUGCCGAACGGCUGAAGCUUAACACUUGUACAAUGUUAGUUUACUUGUAAUAGUACUUCAAGUGAUCAGCGUUCCAUGGAUGGCCAAAGGUCAUGCCAUCAGAGCUUCUAAGCUUGUAGGAGCCAAAGCGACUGAUGCCAACAACUUCAAAUGGUCCAUCCCAGUUUGGACUAAGUGUUCCUUCACUCAGGACUCUGUCGCAGAGUAAUCUUUUCUUCAAUACCCAGUUCCCUACUUUGAAAGAACGAGGUUUGACCCUUGAGUCAUAGUAGUUGGAGAUGCGUUGCUUGUAGGCGACAUUCCUCAAGUGAGCCUGGUUUCUAUGUUCCUCGACUAGAUCUAAGUUGAGGGUAAGUUGUUUGUCAUUUUCGCUUUGCACGUAGUUCUGGACUCGAAACGUUGUUUGCUCAAGCUCAACUAGGACAACUGCCUCUGUACCAAAAGCAAGUGAGAAUGGGGUUUCUCCUGUUGAUGUCCGAUACGAAGUGUGGUAUGACCAAAGAACUUGGGGUACAAAUUCUGGCUAACAACCUUUAGCCUUGUCCAAGCUGGUUUUCAAAGUUCGCUUGAUUAUUUUGUUGAUGGCUUCAACUUGUCCAUUAGACUGGGGAUGAGAUGGGGAGGCAAAACAUAAGUUGAUGUUGAACUUAAAGCAAAACAUCUUGAACUUAUUGUUGUUAAACUGUCACCCAUUGUCAGUGACUAUCGCAUUGGGAAUGCCGAAUCUACAAAGGAUGUUCUUCCAUACGAAAUCUUCUAUUUUUGCCUCAGUAAUGGUUGCGAAGGGUUCUACUUCGGCCCACUUUGUGAAGUAGUCAACUACAACGAUUGCAUAGCGAACCUUGCCCUUCCCUGCAGGCAUUGGACCGAUCAAAUCAAGUCCCUAUUGGGUAAAGGGCCAAGGGCUGAUCAUAGGAGUGAGCGGCUCAGAAGGGGAGUGAGGAAUAGUUGUGUAGCGUUGACACUUAUCACAUGAGCGGGAUAUUCUGAUGGCAUUUUGGUAGAGUGUUGGCUAGUAAUAUCCUUGGUGAAAAGCCUUAUGUGCUAGGGAUCGAGAUCCAGCAUGAUCUCCGCAGACUCCUUCAUGUAUUUCCCGAAUGACAGUUUCCGCCUCUACGAGCGUAAGGCAUCUUAGGUAUGGUAGGUUAAAACCCCGCUUGUAGAGUUGGUCAUUAAUGAUCAAGUAACGGGUAACCUUGUAUCGAAUCUGCUUAGCUUAGACUUUGUCAUUUGGAAGGGUGCCAUGAGGAAGGAAUCUAUAAAUCAGGGUAAUCCAACUAUCCCCCUGUUGUAAGUUGCACACUUCCGCAGCCAUGGUGCUUGGUGCUGCCAACAAUUCGACCUGAAUUUUUCUCCCAAUCUUGUCUUCCACCGCUGAGGCGAAGCGAGCCAAAGCAUCUGCAUGACUGUUUGCCGUUCGAGGAAUUUGGGUGAUCUAGUAGUGGAAGUGCUUGAGCAACAAUUGUGUUUGUGCCAGAUAUGCUGCCAUGGAGCUAUCCUUAGCGUCAAAGUUAUUGGUGACCUGGUUAACCACCAAUUAGGAGUCACUGAAGAUGUCAAUUCGUUUAACCCCAAGGUGUUUGGCCAAACGUAAGCUUGCUAUGAGGGCUUCAUAUUUGGCCUCAUUGUUCGACGCCUUGAAUUUGAAACGAAGGGCAUACUCCAUCGCCAUUUUGUCAAGCGUCGUAAGGACUAGUCCUGCUUCAUAACCCUGUUGGUUGGACGAUCUAUCAACAUAUAUACUAUGUGCUGGGGCUGUUGGUUCUAUUUUCUGUGCUUCCAAGGAUAAUAAAACCACUUCUUUAGGCGUAGAAACAAUGUCAACAUGAUAUGUUAAGUUGGUGAUGAAGUCUGCCACUGCUUGGCCCUUCUAAGCUGGCUUUGGUUGGUAGGAGAUGUCAAACUCACCCAAUGCUAUCGCCCAUUUGAUCAUUCACCUAGAAAUGUCAGGACUUUGGAGUAUCUGUCUAAGAGAAUGAUUGGUAAGCACGAUGAUGAAGUGUGCUUGGAAGUAAGGGCGAAGUUUUCGAACAAACAUGACCAAUGCUAGAGCCAAUUUCUUAAUGUUGGAGUAUCGUGUCUCCGCAUUUUGUAAGGCCUUGCUAGCGUAGUAGACAAGCUGUUCGACAUUACCAUCUUUUCAAAUGAGAACAGAACUUACUGCUGAAGUCGAUACCCACAGAUAGAUAAUGAAAGUGUCACCAACCUCAGGUUUGGAGAGCAAAUGGGCUUUACUCAUGUAAUCUUUGAAGUUCUUGAAUGCCUCAGCACAUUCAUCAGUCCAUGAAAAUAGCACAUAUGUCUGUGGCCUUAGAGAUGAACCUAGUUAAGGCUGCCACCUUGCCAGCAAGGCUCUAGAUGCCUUUUGAAGUUAUCGGUUCCUUCAUGUCGAGGAUUGCUUUGAUCUUCUCGGGAUUAACCUCAAUGCCUCAUUGGCUUAUCAUGAAGCCUAAGAAUUUGCCUGAGCCUACGCCGAAGGCACAUUUGUUGGGGUUCAACCUCAUUCGAUACCUUUUCAGAAUGGCGAAAGUUUCAAAUAGGUUGAUGAUGUGUUGGUCAGCAUGUUUACUCUUAACUAGCAUAUCAUCAACGUAAACUUCCAUGCUUUUCCCAAUCUGUUCGGCGAACAUUAAAUUGACCAAUCUCUGAUAAGUCGCUCCUGCAUUCUUUAGGCCGAAGGGUAUAACUUUAUAGCAAUAUAGUCCCUUGUCAGUAGUGAAGGCUAUGUGUUCUUGGUCUGGAGGGUUCAUGAGGAUUUGGUUGAAUCCUGAGUAAGCAUUUAUAAAGCUCAGGAGUUCACACCCUGCCGUAGAGUCUAUAAGUUUGUCUAUGAAAGGAAGAGGAAAGCUAUCCUUCGGGCAUCCUUUGUUUAGGUCGGUGUAAUCGACACACAUUCUCCACAAGACCUUUUUGGAGCAGGAGACUUUCCUUGGUCGGAUUCUUCUUAACAAGGACAACAUUUGCUAACCACGUUGGAUAAUUGACUUCGCGAACGAAGCAUAUGCCUUUGAGUUUUUCAACUUCUGCCUUCAUUACCUCGUACCGUUCAGCGUCAUAAAAUCUUUUCUUCUGUCUCACUAGCUUGGUCUUGGGGUCAAUACUUAAGCGAUGACAGAUUAUAUCGGGAGAAAUGCCUGGCAUGUCCUCGUAUGACCAGGCGAAGACCUCAGUGUUCUCUUGCAAAAAAGAUAUCAAUGCCAACCGAAUGGGUGGUGACAAAGUGGUACCAAUCUUCACCAUGCAAUCUGGAUAAUCUUUUGAGAUAGAGACAUUCUUUAACUUUUCGGCAGGUUGUGCUUGCUGGGUGAAAGAAUCAUCUCGAGGAUCGUCGGGUUGACUGUUGCCACCGUGAAGAUCCAAGUUAGCUUUGUCUGGGCUGGUCUUUAUGACUUAGUCAUGUAUAGAAAAGGUUUCCUUGGGCACAGGCAGGUGUUGUUGCUUGACCGAAGUGUUGUAACAUGAUCGUGCACUAAGUUGAUCUUCUCUGAUGUAACCAUUGCUAUAGGGGGUUGGAAAUUUCAUCAACAACAUAUGUGUGAUACCAUGGCCUUAAGAUCAUUGAUGCCUGUGCGUCCGAAGAUGACAUUGUAUGCCGUUGAGCAAUCAACCACCAGGAAGUCAGUGGUAAUGGUAGCUGUGUAAGGGCAUGUACCAAUGGUGAAAGGUAAAUGUAUGCUCCCCAGAGGUUGCACGAUAUCACCGGAGAAGCUUAUCAAAGGGGAAAUUAAGUGAUCGAGCAAGUGUUCAGCUACAUUAAGUGCCCUGAAAGCUUCAGCAAACAUGAUAUUGAUCGAAGCCCCUAUGUCUACCAGGAUUCGUCGUACUUCAAAGUUGGCUAUAUGAGCUUCCACGAUCAGUAGGUCGUUGUGAGGGUAGAUGAUACAUCUUUCUUCCUCAGGGUAGAAACAUAUUGGAUCCCAAUUAGGCUUUUGAUACUUACCUCCCCUGAUGUCUUCCAUAUGAAACACUUGGUGGCCCGACCUUAAAGCUCAUUCACUAUUUUUCAUAGUCCUGUUGGAAGAUUUAGAUAUGGGUGUGCCACCACUUAUGGAAUAUAUCACAUUCACCUGGUAUUGGUUACGGUUACCCCUUGGAGAGUCAAGGAGGAAUUGAUCAAUUUUUCCUUCACGUGCCAAAGCUUUAAUAUGAUCACGAAGGGUGAUACACUUCUCGCCGUCAUGGCCGUUAUGCUCGUGGUAGCAGCAAAAUAUGCCCUUGUUCUUCAUGGGCUUGUAAUUCGGGUGCCUCGGUUUUGGCUUUGGUAUCAAGUGUGCUAUGCUGGGGUAAAUGGCUACGCAUGUGGUGUUCAAAGGUGUGUAUGCCUUAUACCUCGGGGUAGGGGCUGUCCUGACACGUGCUUGACCCACUGUGUUGACUGCCUGGGGUCAGGGAUUAUCGUGGUGAUACCCUUGGUUAUCGCGGUAGUGUUCCUUACUCCUUUUACUAAAAUGAGACUGGAGAGGAUAGAAAUCUUUCCUUUUGCCCUGAGAUUGAUAUGUUUGUUGACUUGGCAAAGUAUUAAGUAAGGAAGGGGGAGGCACCACUGCCGUUUGGAAGGUCGAGGUCUUCUCAUUUGGUUGGAUCUGGGUUCCACUCCCUACUUGCUGAUAAGGGGUGGCUGUGGGGGGUUUCCCUUGAUAUAUCUUUGCCUCGGCGGAGGCAUGGUUGUAAGCCUGUGCCAUCACCUCAGAGUAAGUUUUCCAAGUGUUGGCAUUGAUCAUGUACUUGAAGAAACAAUCACGUAGGCCUACCAUGAAGGCCUUGAGGGCGAUCUUGUCAUCUACCUCAGCGCAGCGAGAAUACUCAUGGCUGAAGCGACCGGCAUACUCUCGUAGUGACUCAUCAUCCGGCUUCUGGCGAAUAGUGUACAAGUCAUCUGCAGAAUGCAAGCGAUCGGUCUGGAAAAUGUGUUGAAAAACAAACAGUUUCCUCAAUUCCUCAAAUGAGUCUACCGUCUCAGGUGGAAGACGGCAAUACUAGUUUAGAGCUCCGCCAGAGAGGGUGGAGGGGAAGAGAAGACAUCGCUUUUCGCCGUGUGUAUCCGGUAUGCUAUGGUGGACUCAAAGAGGUUAAAGUGUUCAAUCGGGUCCUCUUUUCCAGUAUAGAGUUGCAAGCCAAGCUUCUGUUUUGUCUUUGCUUGGAGGGGGGUGUCGAGGAUCCUCCUUGUAAGAGGGCCAGGCCUACGUUGGUUCCAAUCAGGUAUCUCAGCUUGUCGUUCGACCUUCAACUUGUUUACUUCCUUAAGAAGCUGUAGGACAAGAGGGUCCUGAGUGGAGUCAUGUACCAAUGGAGCUUUCUUUCGUAAAUCUCCAUCUCUUCUUGGAAGUAGGAAGGUUUGAUCAAGAGCAUGUUUGUCGAAACAUCUCUGAGUCCCCUAUACCUUUGUGUUUCUCUAGGACUUGUUGCCCCUUCCCCAAAUUGGUAGCCAACCUGGGAUGUGGGAGGGGACCGAGUUUUUCAUAAACCCUUGGGUCAUUAAUCUUCGAGCUUAUGUGGAAGGGAUUCUCUUGACGUUACUUUAGGAAGUCUCGGCAGUCACGAUAAACGGCUUUCGAUCCUUCCAACCUUUUUACAAUAAGGUGUCUUCCUCCACUUCUCCUGCUUCGGGUCGAAGCAGCUGGGUUGAGAGAAGUCUCAUGUUGAUCAAUGUUUUGAUGAUUAGCUCGCUCCUCAUCAGGGAUACCCAUGUCGAAUGAAGGUGACCCUUCUUAUUGGGAGGCAUCCAGAUGAUGGUUGACGUCCACAAGGGUAAUGAGUUCGUGUGUUUGAGUACGCCUAGUUUCGUGGAACAUCUCAAAGAGUUUCUCAUACUGCUCCUGGAGGACCUCAUUCUUCAUUGAUAUCUGGUUGUUUUGAGAUUCUAGCUCAUCGACUUUAGCUUGAAGAGCAACCCUCUUUCCUUCCUUCUUUCAUUGCUUCGCACUAGGUGCAAGAGGGGUGUCAUUCUGUGUGCUGUGGCUUCCUUCGCUCCCCAUGUUGGAGAGGGAUGCCUGGUCAAAAGAGAGUGUACGAAUGGUGGAAACCAGCUUAACAAAGCUUAAGAGAGUGAGAAUAAGUGUCGUUCCCACAGACGGCGCCAAAUGUUGAUGCACAAAAUCAGUGAGGACUUUGGUACAACAGAAAGUGUUAAGUUUGUGACCUUCGCUAGAUUGCUCCGGUCACUAGUAUGGAUAAGUAUGUAAAUGGAUAGAGAUAGGGAAGCAAACACAAGAUGUACGUGGUUCACCCAGAUUGGCUACGUCCACGGAGUAGAGGAGUUCUCAUUAAUUGUGAAGGGUUUACACAAGUACAUAGGUUCAAGCUCUCCUUUAGUGAGUACAAGUAAAUGAUUUAGUACAAAUGACAUUAGGAAAUAUUGUGAGAGAAUGAUCUCUAUUUAUAGAAUAGAGUUUCUAGUUUCAUUCUGACAUUGACACGUGUCGUGUGUUGUGAUUGGCUUCUGAUGUUGACACGUGUCGCGCUAUGAUUGGCUUCCUGAUUUGAGGGAAACUCUUCUGGGUCCUUGAUGGUAUAACGUUGACCGGUGCUCAGUAGUUUCGGGAUUGGUCAAGUAUGGUACAAACAUACCUGAUUCAGAUGUAUUGGAAGGUGAAAAGUUGGUGGAACUUGCGUGACGAAUAUUUGUCGUGCAAAAGUAACAUUUCGUCGCGCAAGUUUUUCCCGCCAAAUUAAAUUACCCACGUUUUCUUGCUGACUUUAAGCGACGACAAAAAAAUAUUCGUCGCACAAGAAUACUUAGCACGACGAAAUUUUCAUCGCGCAAGUUUAAUUUAUUUCUUUUCUCUAUUUUUUUUAUUUUGCGUGACGAAAUUUUUUUUUGUCGCGCAAGUGCGUCUUGUGCGACGAAUUUUUAAGUCAUCAAAUUCAAACCCUUGAUGUGCCACCUAAUUAAGAUGGUAUAUAUGCAUGUGCUGGGUUGAGGUCAGUUUAAGUUUACUUAGUUUUCCAAGAUGGUCUUUAUUUGUCAACAUUGUCAUUAAAUAUUUGCAAGCAAAAGCCAUAUAUUAUAUAUGUGGGGGCAAGCAAUGUCAACUAUAUAUAUGAUGAUUUAGUCGAAUAGUUGCCUGUAUUUGCUUAGUUCUUGGACAUAUAUAUCCUUUAUUCGUUCAAUUUUGACGGGACGAACUGGAAUAUAUAUAGUUGAUGAUUUGAUGGAAAAUACCUUAAACAUACAUAUGUGCAUGCAAUCUGUCACUCAUGCAGGGCAGGUGAGAGAAUAGAGUUUGUUGCUUGAGUUCUUCCAAACUAUACCAGCGAGCAGCUUGGGACCAAAGAUAGAGUGUUAAACGAACAAAGGUCACAAAAACUAUGAGAGAGAGCAUUGGAUGUGCUAUAAACCCUAACAAGUAACAACCACCCCAUAAGAUUGGUUGAAUAUUGGAUAUGAAUAUUUGAAGGUAAAGGAUCCCAUCCAAGAUCGACCAAUUGUGGACCUGAAAAAAUCCCAUCUUUCGAAAAUAAGUGAUUGAAAUGCAAUCUGUCGACACGAAUAUUAUUGAAGGUGGGUGUAAUAAUUGUAAAUGGAAGAAAGUGUUGCUUUAAUUAGUCAUUAGGUGUAACUAAACGCACAUGCGUGGUUCCAUGCAAGUAUCACUCAAAAAAUUAAUUUCAUUUGUGGGGAUGAUUCUUUAUUAAUGUCGAUUGAUUUGGUAGUAAGACAAGCAUUUCAAGAUGGAGAACAAGGCCAUGAGAUGCUUAAAUCCACAUAUAUAUGUGCUAAGUGUGUACCACGUACGUACUCCAACAAAAGUGAUCAAUAAAAAUUGGUCUCCACUGGAAAUGGUUUUCCCCCGAAUCAAACAUAAAUUAAAAAAAUAGAAAUCGAUUUUACUAGAUAGACUAUUCUAUAUCAUAGCGUUAUUUUUUCCAGAAUCACAUGUUUGAGUGAUGAGAAACUCUGAGUAGUGUAGCAGUACCGGGCGAAUAGUUCAUUCAAGUAGGGUUUACAAAUGAAUUGUUAAUUUGAUGAAUCUUUGAUGUAAAUUAUAUAUAUGUAAGAGUUCUAGUGAACUAUGUUUUAUUUCUAUACCUAUGGUACUACUAUUGUUACACGUCAUCAUGUUGACUAUGAGCGUAUCUCGAUAUCAGGACAUUUGUUCUGAACAUUAUUACAUAAGAAUCAUAAAAACUGAAAAUAAAAAAGGAAACAAGUUUGUUAUCUCAAGAAAUAACAUUGUUAGAUAAAGAAACACUUGAAAGAAUGCUCAAGGUCUUCUCUGAAAAUGAAGCAAUAUAUCCUUUCUCUAGAGACUGAUACAAGCUAACCCAUGUUAAAAAACGCAACCCCAUAUAUAAAAAGAAUACAUAAAGGAAUCCUAGACAUGAUCCUAGCUAACUUAAGAACGUACCUAAAAGGUUUGUUUGAGGGAAAAGCGGAUCACUCUUCAAAAUAAAAUCUUCUUUUUUAAUAAGCCAACUUUUUUUCCGGAUAAGUAAUGCGUAAUAACUAAGAUCCUUUUCUUUUUCCUCAGUUAGCUAUCAAACCUAGAGCUUGCAACAGAAGAAACUAAGAGCUAAUUGAUAUAGAAAGGAGGGUUUGUUGUAGACUUGUAGCAACUUUAAUGAACAAGCUGUGUGGUUCAAGAAGAAACAACUCCUAUUGGCUAAUUAAGUGACAGUUGAUUAAAAUUAUAUCACUAAUCACAUGGGGUUUGGUCAACGAAAUAUAACUAAUUUAUAUUGAUUAACAGUAACAGUUGAUUUUCUUCCUAUGAAACUUGGUAGGUAUUCUUUUAAUUAAUAUUGAUAAAUGAUUUCCUUUCUGUAUAAUUUGGCAGGUAUGAUUUUGGACGAAUAUAAUAGGGAUUUGGCUUAAUCAUACAGAUGCGAGAUUGACAAUCAUCCCUUUAAAUAUUUUAUAUAUUUGGAAAGUUUUUAACCCACACGCAUGUGAGUAGACCUUUCAAAUAAUUCGUGCGGCUUACGGCAAGGGUUAAGGCCGAAAGGUGCCUCAUCUGGCGCCAUAUGUAAUGCCUUUGAAUGCAUGCAAUUAUUUGUUUACGUUUAAUUUCUCUGCACUACUAUUAUUGGAUCGAUCAAGCAGAAGAACCUUCGUGGCUCAUGACUUAUAACUAAAAAAAAAAAAAAAGCAUUAUUGCAUCUUUACCCAAUUCUGCCGAACUACAGGGGUACACAGCAUGCACAAGUUCUAUGCCAAUAAGAUAAAACAUGAAAUUUAAGAAGUACAUCGCACAUCGGUGCAAUUUAUUGACGAGGUAUGGCAGGUUGUCAUCCAUAUGGGUGACCUAAACCCUAGGGAUGGCAAAGGAAUGGGUUACGAAUCUUCGGAUCAAUUACAAGUGACAGGAGUUUUGCAUUAGAGCCCUUGAACCGUUCCCCUUUUUUUUCUGUUUUGAGCAAAGGUUGCAAAUAAGAGCAAACCCAAAAGAAGGAACAAGGGAAAAAGUAGGCUAGUGGAUAGGAUAUGGAUUACUCUUACUUUGGAUAUAUACAAGGCAAUUGGAUAGUGCCUUUAGGAAGAUUUGAUAGAAAUUUAAGCGGGGGGAAAUGAAUCACCCUUAUCUAAUAAAUUUGGUUUGGCAAGGGAAUCAGGUCCUCAUCGAAUAUUGGCCAUAUUUCAAGGGUGAAUAACAAACGUCUCUACAACUACCAAAUGCCUCAAUGCAAGAAACAUAGAAAACUCGAUAACUCAAACGAUCACAAGCUCUAGAAACUGUGAAAUCCCAAAUUAAUGAUUUACUUGAUCUUGCUAAACAUAUCAAACUGGGCGGUAAGAGACAAUAGGACCCCCAAUCGGUUGACAUUAAAGCUAGACUACAAAAGCAAAUCCAAUAUACAUACCAAAGUAACUAUUCUAUUUUUACUAGUACAAUUUUGGUCGUUAACGACAUUAUGCAGAGGACGGUUGUUGAUAAAACUUCGUUUCGGUUUUUCGAGAUGACAUAUUAGGCCUAAAAAUGUCGUUCAAUGAGGUGCAAAAGGAGUGGAAGAUAGAUUUCCUAUAGACUUCCUUGUAGUUUUGGUUCUCCAGACGAUGGUUUUAUGGCACUGUCGAAUGCCGAUAUGUGACAAAGGCAAAAAAGUUGAAAAACAGGGAGGGGCUCCGUGUAUUGUUCACAUUUAAAUGAGCUCCCCACCUCAAUUUUUUUUUACGAGUAAAGUCUUUCUCCUUUUUCAGUUUAUCAGACACAUGCAACCAAAAAUCUCCAAUCUACUAAUUGUAGAUCAAACGCCACAAACCAAGUCUCACCUUCUCGAUGUUAUUCUCGAAGAUUUCCAUACUACCCAGUGCUACUUUAUCAAUACCAGACGAUAGUUUAAAAGUAUCAUGUAAGACCUUUUUUGUACUAUUGUUUUAGUACUUAUCUCACAUUUGAGGAUUAUGAUAUCACCCUUCUAGAUUUAAGGAGUUUUAUAUUUAUACCAAUUAGAUAUUGGUUUAAUAGUACUUCUCUUUUCAAUAUUAAAACAGUCUGCAAUUUGAAUCAUCGUAAACCAUUGAUAAAAAUAAAAAUAAAGAAUUUAUAUUUAUUAAAAUAUUGUGGAGUUGUUUCAAUAUAUUUAGGCGUCAAACACAAAUUUCUAGAUUUAAGUUUAUUAACUAGACAAGGAAGAACAUAAGCUAGUAGUUGUAACCUUACAAUCUAGUUUAUGUGAAAACAAGUGUUGUGAAAGUCGUUUCGUACUUGUCAAGCAAGGUUUAUAUUAUAGCGUGUUUGAUUAAUUUGUAAUCCUUUUAUCAUUCUAACUAAUGAUAUCUGAACCCUCGUUUCAUGCUCAAUUCAUAUAUGUUUAUAUUCAUUUUAUUGUUCAGAGACACUCAAUUGAAUUAACAUAUGAAUUACAAUGAUUAUGCCUUCGCUAUUGAAGUCAGGACCACCACGUAAAACGUAAAUUAACAUAAAUAUAUUUAAUAUUUUGGAGUAGCAAUUGUUAUGGUUUGUAUUUUGGUGUAAAUUGUAAUGGGAAUGUAACGAUUUAACAGCAUGUCUUACUUUAUCUUACUUUAUCUUACUUUCUUGUUUGUACACGUUCUUUGAACAGCUUACACACAAAAAAAAAACUUAUUUGCUCGAAAUAACAGAAAAUUAAUAGUACAAAUAACAAUUCACGAGUUAAAUAUAUUCUAUGAGACUAAUAGCUUUAGUGAUUAAAAACAAUUUAUUCAUGCAUAUGAGGUUGAGUCACUUUUUCCUAAUAUGUUGUUGUCUGGGUAUGAAAUAGUAGCUUGGGACGAGAAUGGGUUAAACCAAACUGAAAAACCACAAUACUCAUACCAGUAGGCUUUUAGCCCAAGAAAGGGUUGAUUCGACCGAGACUUGUAUGAGGAUUAAGAUCAUAUGUGCUUCAAUCGAGUCUUAGGCAAAUUGAAAUUGCUAAGGAUCAUAAUAAAGCAAUGAUUAGAUGCGAAUUAUCCCAAGGAUUAGAAUCCAUUCUUGAUCAGAUAAGAAUGAAUUACUCACAUAAUGGGGUCAAGAUAAUCCUAGUUGGAAUAAAAAUAAAAAUAAAAAGCCGAGACUGAAUGAAGAAGAAGUCUUGGCUAAGAGGGAAAUUAAAGAGAUAAGGGAAUAUCCAAGUAAAUGCCGAGAAAACACAGUCUUAUCAGGACUUUACUGUGAUAGACUUGUUUAUCAUGAAGGUUAUCCCUAUAAAUAGGAGAGGUUCUGAGAUGUGAAAACCCCUUUCAACACAACAAACAACUCAAACGCUUUAAGAAAAAUACUAUCCAUUCUAAACCUCUGGUCAACACACCUUCAGUUUGGAUUAGCAGCACUUUAUUGGCAACUGGCAACAUCUUCAGUUUGGAUCAACCGCACUAAAGAAUCAAGCAAUUUAGGAGCAUCUUCAAUUUGGAUUAACAUCAUUGCUUCUGGUUGGUUGGAUAUCUAUCUAAGUCUCAGCCAAUGAAGAAUUAUUAAUUCUUUCACCCAAAGAGGUCACUUCAUUAGCUUCCCAACAAAGUGAAGUGUUCUAUGAUUGGUUACUCUCAGGUGCAUUUUGCAGUUCGGCAUUUAGACGACCAAACCACAUUCACCAUAAGAGCACUCAUCUUCUUUGAGUACUUGUGUCCCUACAGCCUAAUACAGAUUUGGCAUGCCUAUAUUCUUACGAAUAUAGCUAAUGCAACCGACCAUGGUGUAGGAGAUCCUGAACUUUGCAAUGAACUAGGCAACCUUGUUUUCAGGUUCUCGAACCCCAGGCAGAGAGGUGUUCCUUCCUCGGCCAUAGUCGCUCAAGUGCGGAAGUCAGUAGCAUUCAACACCACCACCACCACAUCUAUUCUACUCGCCCUACCAAGCUCGCUUGCGAGUUGGCACGCUUGCAUUCACAAGAAUGACGUAGUUAACUCAUAGUUACUCGACCUGCGAGCCUCGUAAACUUUGUAAUUUUUAGGAUCAACAAUUGUAUAAAAUGAGAGAAGUAAUUUUCACACACCAAUAGCUUCAUGCACACUCAUCCUUUAUUUCCAACCGUCAAAAUAAAUAAUUAAACCAAAACAACAUAGAAGAUUAAACAUGUGUGAGGCUAAAAAUUUGCAUUUAUUACUCUGAUUGGAUAAGGAAAUGUAAGAUAAAUAAGGAAUUCCAAAAUGACAUAAAUAGAAAUGACGGAAUUUUUUUUCUUCUAGAAUUUAUGAAUUUUCUUGUUUGUUAACCUAUUAAAACAAUGGUUGAAUACGGAAUUUAAUGUGUGUACAGAGUCCUUAAUAUAUAAAUGAGAGAUAGUAGUUAGAAAAUGUGCUUGCAGGUGGUGUGGUGGUGGCAACGAUGAUGAUGGUUGGUGGUGGUGGCGAUAAUGAUGGUAAUGGGUAGUGGCAGGGACCAUAACAGUAUAUGGUGGCGACGAUAGUCGUGAUGGUGAUGAUAAUGGUGGGUGGGUGGGGGCGGUGGUGGUGGUGGUGAUGUGUAAUAGUGGUGGCAACUCAUGGUUAAGUUUUUUUGUAUUUUUUAGUUUUAAACCGUUAUUCAUAGAAAUUUAGAAAUAACACAUAUUUACAUAUAAUUUAAACAUGAGAAUAGGAGGGUCCCAAAUUUUAUAGUUUUUUUCUCACGCGAAAAUUCUAAAUUUUUUUGUUUAUAAAUCCAAACAAAAAAAUUGAUGCAUAUAAAUUUAUAAAUUAUGUAUUUUGUCCAAAUUGUAAGUUUGUUUCCCUUGUGCAAUUGCAACCAUAGUGUAAAAGAAAGCUUGGCUUGACGUUGUUAUUAAAGGUGCCUGAACGACGACAUUAUUGUUGCUGUCGUUUGAUUGAAGCAACGGACGACAUCAUCACCUUCAAAGCAUUCUUAAACCCUCUACUUGAAAAUCCGAACCACGGCUAUGGAAACCAUCCAUCGAUUCUCGCUUCGUCUCGGCCCGAUUUGUCUAGCUACCGCCCCGAUAUUUCUGAACUCCCGAAUCAUCUCUUUGAAUCCCGGACUUCCAAACCCGGAUCCAGUCUUCAACACCCAUUUCACGAUCCGGAAAAAGUUCAGCUCAACCUCUUCUCCCGUCGCCAAAGCCGGUUGGCUUCUGGGUCUCGGAGGAGAGAAGAAGAAGAAGAGCAUCAGCAUGCCCGAUAUAGUGAAAGCAGGUGACCCGGUUUUGCACGAACCGGCCCGAGAUGUUGAGCCCGGGGAUAUUGGGUCGGAGAGGAUCCAGAAGAUAAUUGAUGAUAUGGUGAGGGUGAUGCGGAAGGCUCCUGGGGUCGGUCUUGCCGCUCCUCAGAUUGGAAUUCCCUUGAGGGUCAGUUUUGGUAUUUUAUCUUAAAGGCUCAAGUUAAUCACUGACUAUUUAUUAAACGGUACACUAGUAAUAUCACUGUUUCCUAAAUUAAACACUUAUUAUUUCUCAAACGGAACACUAAUACUAUCACUAUUUCUUAACUGAACAUUGACUACUUCUUAAAAUGAACAUUAUUUCUCAAAUUAAACACUGACUAUAUCUUAAACCGAACAUUAGUACAUCACUAUUUUAUAAAUUGAACAUAAGUACUGUCACUAUUUCGUAAACUAAACACUGACUAUUUCUUAAACGGAACACUAGUACUAUCACUGUUUUGUAAACUAAACACUGACUAUUUCUUAAAUGGAACACUAGUACUAUCAUUGUUUCAUAAACUAAACACUGACUAUUUAUUAAACGGAACACUAGUACUAUCAUUGUUUUGUAAACUAAACACUGAUUAUUUCUCAAACGGAAUACUAAUACUAUCACUUGUUCGUAAAUUAAACAUUGACUAUUUUUAAAAUCGAACACUAAUACUAUCACUAUUUCGUAACUAGAACUAUCAUAUUCGUGUUUGUUAUUUGACAUUGACUUUCCUUUAAUUUUUUUUUUCCACACAAACUGAGCUUCUCUCUUCAUUUACGCAUACAAAAAUACCCACAUCAGUUUUGGUCGCCCACAACCCAGACCAAAUUGAACCUAGCCCACCCCUUGUAAACCCACCGAGAUGCGAGUUUGAGAGAGUCACAAGAACAACUUUAGCAGAAUUUGUUAAGAGUUUUACAUGCUGACAUUGUAACCCACAUCAAUUUUAGUGCAUUGAGUGCCCUUUAACUCCACAUCACCUUGCCAGUGAAUCAGUUUCUGUUGCCAUUGCGAAUCUAUCGGCGGAGCCCCAAAUCACCCACUUUGACAAAUCCAGUUCCACCGAAUCAACCUCCCUCCCUCCAAAUUGAAAUACAAACCCUCUUAUGUGAUGACUCACCAACCUCGGAGUAAUCAAAUUUAACACCCCCGUUGACCUCAAGAAAUGAUUCAGGAUUUGGAAGCAAACGAGAAGCAAUCCGGGAUUAGAAAAUCAAAUCACAGAUGAACAAAACCCAUAAUUUAUCUGUGUUCUUCUCUCUCUCCUCUCUUUAUUUGCGCACUAAAUCAGUUUCCCAUCAUCAACUUGAAAAAUCGAAGUGGAGUUGCAGAUAGAAAGUUAGAGAGAGAAAGUGAGAAAGAGAGUGGGGGAGCGCGAGAGGGAGCUCAUGGGAUUUAUGGGUUGUUGGGGGUGAAUAUAAAGAAUCGUGACUUUUUCAGCUCUCUGACAAGGGCAAAAGUAAACUGACGGAAUAAAACGAAACUGACUUAACCUAAAACGUUAGGGGCAAAAUCGACAAGUAAUGGUAUUAUUUUGGUUGGGCCAUUGUAGUUGGACUGCUUUAGUAUUAAGCUUUGUACUAACCAUUAAAUAAAGUUGUAACAUGUUUUUUGGUUAAAAUCCAAAGUUUUCAAGCCUUUUUCAUUAGUUUUCCUUUUAAACUAUCAUUCAUAGAAAUUUAAAAAUGACACAUAUUUACAUAGAAUUUAAACAUGAGAAUAGGAGGUCCCAAAUUUUAUAGGUUUUUUCUCACGCGAAAAUUCUAAAUUUUUUUUUUAUAAAUUCAAACAAAAAAAAAUUGAUGCAUAUCAAUUUAUAAACCAAAUUGUAAGUUUGUUUCCCUUGUGCAAUUGCAACCAUAGUGUAAAAGAAAGCUUGGCUUGACGUUGUUAUUAAGGUGCCUGAACGACGACAUUAUUGUUGCUGUCGUUUGAUUGAAGCAGCGGACGACAUCAUCACCUGCAAAGCAUUCUUAAACCCUCUACUUGAAAAUCCGAACCACGGCUAUGGAAACCAUCCACCGAUUCUCGCUUCGUCUCGGCCCGAUUUGUCUAGCUACCGCCCCGAUAUUUCUGAACUCCCGAAUCAUCUCUCUUUGAAUCCCGGACUUCCAAACCCGGAUCCAGUCUCCAACACCCAUUUCACGAUCCGGAAAAAGUUCAGCUCAACCUCUUCUCCCGUCGCCAAAGCCGGUUGGCUUCUGGGUCUCGGAGGAGAGAAGAAGAAGAGCAUCAGCAUGCCCGAUAUAGUGAAAGCAGGUGACCCGGUUUUGCACGAACCGGCCCGAGAUGUUGAGCCCGGGGAUAUUGGGUCGGAGAGGAUCCAGAAGAUAAUUGAGGAUAUGGUGAGGGUGAUGCGGAAGGCUCCCGGGGUCGGUCUUGCUGCUCCUCAGAUUGGAAUUCCCUUGAGGGUCAGUUUUGGUGUUUUAUCUUAAAGGCUCUAUUUUUUUUUUUUUUUUUUUUUUUUUUUUUUUUUUUUUUUUUUUUUGUUCUUCUGUUUCAUUAAUUUCUGUUUGGCUGCUGAGAAAAUGUGGAAAGAAAUGUAAAAUGUAGCUUUCUUUUUCACCCUGCGUUGGUUCUUGCGAGUAAAAUUUUUAGACAAGCGAUAGUCUGCACUAAAUUCGUUCUAAACUACGGGGAGGGGGAUUCGAACUUGAGGACAGGGACGGGGAUUCGAACUUGGCUAAGCCCAUGUCUGCAGAUAGAUAGACCUUUUAAUGGUAAAUAAUCAAAGCUUAGUUCAAUUUAAGCUACAUUGCUGAUUUUAGUGAUGUUCCUUUUUUUAUUACGGUUACAAAAAUUGAUACUUUCUUUUUAUUUUGGUGGAAUGUAUAGCUUAACUAACCAGUUUUAAAUUUUCGUUGAAGAUUAAACUUUCGUUAUUCAUGAAAACCUAGCAUUCCGUAAAACGAAGGUAACAACUCUGUCUUGUCAUCCGUGCAGAUAAUAGUUUUGGAAGAUACAAAGGAAUAUAUCAGUUAUGCACCUAAGGAAGCCACUGCAGCUCAAGAUAGACGACCUUUUGAUCUUUUGGUAUGUUAAGUAUCUGUGAGAGAGGUGAACAUCCGAAUGACGUAUUGAAUCUUAAGAUUGAAAAUGUUACACUUGACUAUUCCAAUUUAUUUGUUAUUUUUGAGGCAGGUGAUUCUUAAUCCGAAGCUUAAAAAGAAGAGCAACAAGACUGCAGUAUUCUUUGAAGGGUGCUUAAGGUAACGGAUACAAUGUUUUUCUAUUUUAGCUAGAAAUGAGAGAAAUCUAUGGUUGAGGUCGGAAGAAAUAGUAAAUGAACCAUCCCCAUCAGAGACGACACAGAAUUUUCCUUAAUGCCCUGUUCUUCUCGUAAAUGGAUAGUUGAGAACAAUAGCUUUGUUGGGGGUUUGGAUGUUACAGAGGCGUGGCAGUGAUUCAAGUUACAUAAGUUUCUUUAUCAUUCUCAACAUUUGUAUCUACAGUGUUCUUGUUAGGAAUUUUCAACACCUAUUCUCUGCAAAACUAUACAGAAUUGGUUCCAUAUGGUUACUGAAUGCUCCCUUGUUUUGCGAGAUAUGAUCAUAUGAUAUGAAUAAAGUUUAUGUUCUAUACCAUCACCUUGGAUGCCACUGAACUACCACACGGUGAAUUUUGAACCUGUCUCAAUGCUAAACCGGGACUUAGUCAUAGGGCAUGUGAAACUAUAGUUGACAACCUCGGGUGUUUGUAGUAUUCGAGUCCCUCAAUUAGAGAAUUCCAUCUCAGUUAACAAAUUGAUAGGAAACAUGACGCUACUGCAUUAUAAGUGUUCCUCAUUUGUAAAUAGUUUUCAUCUCUAAGGUUGAAAUUUUUAUAGUCAAUCUUAAUUGAGACUGUGAAAGCGAACAUAGGAUUUCAUCAUGGACCCUUGUUUAUUUUGCUUGUGUUGGGUGCUCGACUUACUCGAGUUCACACCUUUCUAAUAUUGUGUUUUUAGAAUUUUUUUUUAACUCAAGUUACUAUGUCCAUGGAAACUAGAAUCGCCUACUGUCGAUAAUAUGUAAUUUUACUGUGAUAUUUUGCAGUGUCGAUGGAUUCAGAGCAGUGGUGGAGCGAAACCUUGAUGUUGAGGUUUCAGGUUUUGANNNNNNNNNNNNNNNNNNNNNNNNNNNNNNNNNNNNNNNNNNNNNNNNNNNNNNNNNNNNNNNNNNNNNNNNNNNNNNNNNNNNNNNNNNNNNNNNNNNNNNNNNNNNNNNNNNNNNNNNNNNNNNNNNNNNNNNNNNNNNNNNNNNNNNNNNNNNNNNNNNNNNNNNNNNNNNNNNNNNNNNNNNNNNNNNNNNNNNNNNNNNNNNNNNNNNNNNNNNNNNNNNNNNNNNNNNNNNNNNNNNNNNNNNNNNNNNNNNNNNNNNNNNNNNNNNNNNNNNNNNNNNNNNNNNNNNNNNNNNNNNNNNNNNNNNNNNNNNNNNNNNNNNNNNNNNNNNNNNNNNNNNNNNNNNNNNNNNNNNNNNNNNNNNNNNNNNNNNNNNNNNNNNNNNNNNNNNNNNNNNNNNNNNNNNNNNNNNNNNNNNNNNNNNNNNNNNNNNNNNNNNNNNNNNNNNNNNNNNNNNNNNNNNNNNNNNNNNNNNNNNNNNNNNNNNNNNNNNNNUGUUCGGCGAACAUUAAAUUGACCAAUCUCUGAUAAGUCGCUCCUGCAUUCUUUAGGCCGAAGGGUAUAAACUUUAUAGCAAUAUAGUCCCUUGUCAGUAGUGAAGGCUAUGUGUUCUUGGUCUGGAGGGUUCAUGAGGAUUUGGUUUGAAUCCUGAGUAAGCAUUUAUAAAGCUCAGGAGUUUCACACCCUGCCGUAGAGUCUAUAAGUUUGUCUAUGAAAGGAAGAGGAAAGCUAUCCUUCGGGCAUCCUUUGUUUAGGUCGGUGUAAUCGACACACAUUCUCCACAAGACCUUUUUGGAGCAGGAGACUUUCCUUGGUCGGAUUCUUCUUAACAAGGACAACAUUUGCUAACCACGUUGGAUAAUUGACUUCGCGAACGAAGCAUAUGCCUUUGAGUUUUUCAACUUCUGCCUUCAUUACCUCGUACCGUUCAGCGUCAUAAAAUCUUUUCUUCUGUCUCACUAGCUUGGUCUUGGGGUCAAUACUUAAGCGAUUGACAGAUUAUAUCGGGAGAAAUGCCUGGCAUGUCCUCGUAUGACCAGGCGAAGACCUCAGUGUUCUCUUGCAAAAAAGAUAUCAAUGCCAACCGAAUGGGUGGUGACAAAGUGGUACCAAUCUUCACCAUGCAAUCUGGAUAAUCUUUUUGAGAUAGAGACAUUCUUUAACUUUUCGGCAGGUUGUGCUUGCUGGGUGAAAGAAUCAUCUCGAGGAUCGUCGGGUUGACUGUUGCCACCGUGAAGAUCCAAGUUAGCUUUGUCUGGGCUGGUCUUUAUGACUUAGUCAUGUAUAGAAAAGGUUUCCUUGGGCACAGGCAGGUGUUGUUGCUUGACCGAAGUGUUGUGUAACAUGAUCGUGCACUAAGUUGAUCUUCUCUGAUGUAACCAUUGCUAUAGGGGGUUGGAAAUUUCAUCAACAACAUAUGUGUGAUACCAUGGCCUUAAGAUCAUUGAUGCCUGUGCGUCCGAAGAUGACAUUGUAUGCCGUUGAGCAAUCAACCACCAGGAAGUCAGUGGUAAUGGUAGCUGUGUAAGGGCAUGUACCAAUGGUGAAAGGUAAAUGUAUGCUCCCCAGAGGUUGCACGAUAUCACCGGAGAAGCUUAUCAAAGGGGAAAUUAAGUGAUCGAGCAAGUGUUCAGCUACAUUAAGUGCCCUGAAAGCUUCAGCAAACAUGAUAUUGAUCGAAGCCCCUAUGUCUACCAGGAUUCGUCGUACUUCAAAGUUGGCUAUAUGAGCUUCCACGAUCAGUAGGUCGUUGUGAGGGUAGAUGAUACAUCUUUCUUCCUCAGGGUAGAAACAUAUUGGAUCCCAAUUAGGCUUUUGAUACUUACCUCCCCUGAUGUCUUCCAUAUGAAACACUUGGUGGCCCGACCUUAAAGCUCAUUCACUAUUUUUCAUAGUCCUGUUGGAAGAUUUAGAUAUGGGUGUGCCACCACUUAUGGAAUAUAUCACAUUCACCUGGUAUUGGUUACGGUUACCCCUUGGAGAGUCAAGGAGGAAUUGAUCAAUUUUUCCUUCACGUGCCAAAGCUUUAAUAUGAUCACGAAGGGUGAUACACUUCUCGCCGUCAUGGCCGUUAUGCUCGUGGUAGCAGCAAAAUAUGCCCUUGUUCUUCAUGGGCUUGUAAUUCGGGUGCCUCGGUUUUGGCUUUGGUAUCAAGUGUGCUAUGCUGGGGUAAAUGGCUACGCAUGUGGUGUUCAAAGGUGUGUAUGCCUUAUACCUCGGGGUAGGGGCUGUCCUGACACGUGCUUGACCCACUGUGUUGACUGCCUGGGGUCAGGGAUUAUCGUGGUGAUACCCUUGGUUAUCGCGGUAGUGUUCCUUACUCCUUUUACUAAAAUGAGACUGGAGAGGAUAGAAAUCUUUCCUUUUGCCCUGAGAUUGAUAUGUUUGUUGACUUGGCAAAGUAUUAAGUAAGGAAGGGGGAGGCACCACUGCCGUUUGGAAGGUCGAGGUCUUCUCAUUUGGUUGGAUCUGGGUUCCACUCCCUACUUGCUGAUAAGGGGUGGCUGUGGGGGGUUUCCCUUGAUAUAUCUUUGCCUCGGCGGAGGCAUGGUUGUAAGCCUGUGCCAUCACCUCAGAGUAAGUUUUCCAAGUGUUGGCAUUGAUCAUGUACUUGAAGAAACAAUCACGUAGGCCUACCAUGAAGGCCUUGAGGGCGAUCUUGUCAUCUACCUCAGCGCAGCGAGAAUACUCAUGGCUGAAGCGACCGGCAUACUCUCGUAGUGACUCAUCCGGCUUCUGGCGAAUAGUGUACAAGUCAUCUGCAGAAUGCAAGCGAUCGGUCUGGAAAAUGUGUUGAAAAACAAACAGUUUCCUCAAUUCCUCAAAUGAGUCUACCGUCUCAGGUGGAAGACGGCAAUACUAGUUUAGAGCUCCGCCAGAGAGGGUGGAGGGGAAGAGAAGACAUCGCUUUUCGCCGUGUGUAUCCGGUAUGCUAUGGUGGACUCAAAGAGGUUAAAAGUGUUCAAUCGGGUCCUCUUUUCCAGUAUAGAGUUGCAAGCCAAGCUUCUGUUUUGUCUUUGCUUGGAGGGGGGUGUCGAGGAUCCUCCUUGUAAGAGGGCCAGGCCUACGUUGGUUCCAAUCAGGUAUCUCAGCUUGUCGUUCGACCUUCAACUUGUUUACUUCCUUAAGAAGCUGUAGGACAAGAGGGUCCUGAGUGGAGUCAUGUACCAAUGGAGCUUUCUUUCGUAAAUCUCCAUCUCUUCUUGGAAGUAGGAAGGUUUGAUCAAGAGCAUGUUUGUCGAAACAUCUCUGAGUCCCCCUAUACCUUUGUGUUUCUCUAGGACUUGUUGCCCCUUCCCCAAAUUUGGUAGCCAACCUGGGAUGUGGGAGGGGACCGAGUUUUUCAUAAAAACCCUUGGGUCAUUAAUCUUCGAGCUUAUGUGGAAGGGAUUCUCUUGACGUUACUUUAGGAAGUCUCGGCAGUCACGAUAAACGGCUUUCGAUCCUUCCAACCUUUUUACAAUAAGGUGUCUUCCUCCACUUCUCCUGCUUCGGGUCGAAGCAGCUGGGUUGAGAGAAGUCUCAUGUUGAUCAAUGUUUUGAUGAUUAGCUCGCUCCUCAUCAGGGAUACCCAUGUCGAAUGAAGGUGACCCUUCUUAUUGGGAGGCAUCCAGAUGAUGGUUGACGUCCACAAGGGUAAUGAGUUCGUGUGUUUGAGUACGCCUAGUUUCGUGGAACAUCUCAAAGAGUUUCUCAUACUGCUCCUGGAGGACCUCAUUCUUCAUUGAUAUCUGGUUGUUUUUGAGAUUCUAGCUCAUCGACUUUAGCUUGAAGAGCAACCCUCUUUCCUUCCUUCUUUCAUUGCUUUCGCACUAGGUGCAAGAGGGGUGUCAUUCUGUGUGCUUGUGGCUUCCUUCGCUCCCCAUGUUGGAGAGGGAUGCCUGGUCAAAAGAGAGUGUACGAAUGGUGGAAACCAGCUUAACAAAGCUUAAAGAGAGUGAGAAUAAGUGUCGUUCCCACAGACGGCGCCAAAUGUUGAUGCACAAAAAUCAGUGAGGACUUUGGUACAACAGAAAGUGUUAAGUUUGUGACCUUCGCUAGAUUGCUCCGGUCACUAGUAUGGAUAAGUAUGUAAAUGGAUAGAGAUAGGGAAGCAAACACAAGAUGUACGUGGUUCACCCAGAUUGGCUACGUCCACGGAGUAGAGGAGUUCUCAUUAAUUGUGAAGGGUUUACACAAGUACAUAGGUUCAAGCUCUCCUUUAGUGAGUACAAGUAAAUGAUUUAGUACAAAUGACAUUAGGAAAUAUUGUGAGAGAAUGAUCUCUAUUUAUAGAAUAGAGUUUCUAGUUUCAUUCUGACAUUGACACGUGUCGUGUUGUGAUUGGCUUCUGAUGUUGACACGUGUCGCGCUAUGAUUGGCUUCCUGAUUUGAGGGAAACUCUUCUGGGUCCUUGAUGGUAUAACGUUGACCGGUGCUCAGUAGUUUCGGGAUUGGUCAAGUAUGGUACAAACAUACCUGAUUCAGAUGUAUUGGAAGGUGAAAAGUUGGUGGAACUUGCGUGACGAAUAUUUGUCGUGCAAAAGUAACAUUUCGUCGCGCAAGUUUUUCCCGCCAAAUUAAAUUACCCACGUUUUCUUGCUGACUUUAAGCGACGACAAAAAAUAUUCGUCGCACAAGAAUACUUAGCACGACGAAAUUUUCAUCGCGCAAGUUUAAUUUAUUUCUUUUCUCUAUUUUUUUUAUUUUGCGUGACGAAAUUUUUUUUGUCGCGCAAGUGCGUCUUGUGCGACGAAUUUUUAAGUCAUCAAAUUCAAACCCUUGAUGUGCCACCUAAUUAAGAUGGUAUAUAUGCAUGUGCUGGGUUGAGGUCAGUUUAAGUUUACUUAGUUUUCCAAGAUGGUCUUUAUUUGUCAACAUUGUCAUUAAAUAUUUGCAAGCAAAAGCCAUAUAUUAUAUAUGUGGGGGCAAGCAAUGUCAACUAUAUAUAUGAUGAUUUAGUCGAAUAGUUGCCUGUAUUUGCUUAGUUCUUGGACAUAUAUAUCCUUUAUUCGUUCAAUUUUGACGGGACGAACUGGAAUAUAUAUAGUUGAUGAUUUGAUGGAAAAUACCUUAAACAUACAUAUGUGCAUGCAAUCUGUCACUCAUGCAGGGCAGGUGAGAGAAUAGAGUUUGUUGCUUGAGUUCUUCCAAACUAUACCAGCGAGCAGCUUGGGACCAAAGAUAGAGUGUUAAACGAACAAAGGUCACAAAAACUAUGAGAGAGAGCAUUGGAUGUGCUAUAAAACCCUAACAAGUAACAAACCACCCCAUAAGAUUGGUUGAAUAUUGGAUAUGAAUAUUUGAAGGUAAAGGAUCCCAUCCAAGAUCGACCAAUUGUGGACCUGAAAAAAUCCCAUCUUUCGAAAAUAAGUGAUUGAAAUGCAAUCUGUCGACACGAAUAUUAUUGAAGGUGGGUGUAAUAAUUGUAAAUGGAAGAAAGUGUUGCUUUAAUUAGUCAUUAGGUGUAACUAAACGCACAUGCGUGGUUCCAUGCAAGUAUCACUCAAAAAAUUAAUUUCAUUUGUGGGGAUGAUUCUUUAUUAAUGUCGAUUGAUUUGGUAGUAAGACAAGCAUUUCAAGAUGGAGAACAAGGCCAUGAGAUGCUUAAAUCCACAUAUAUAUGUGCUAAGUGUGUACCACGUACGUACUCCAACAAAAGUGAUCAAUAAAAAUUGGUCUCCACUGGAAAUGGUUUUCCCCCGAAUCAAACAUAAAUUAAAAAAAUAGAAAUCGAUUUUACUAGAUAGACUAUUCUAUAUCAUAGCGUUAUUUUUCCAGAAUCACAUGUUUGAGUGAUGAGAAACUCUGAGUAGUGUAGCAGUACCGGGCGAAUAGUUCAUUCAAGUAGGGUUUACAAAUGAAUUGUUAAUUUGAUGAAUCUUUGAUGUAAAUUAUAUAUAUGUAAGAGUUCUAGUGAACUAUGUUUUAUUUCUAUACCUAUGGUACUACUAUUGUUACACGUCAUCAUGUUGACUAUGAGCGUAUCUCGAUAUCAGGACAUUUGUUCUGAACAUUAUUACAUAAGAAUCAUAAAAACUGAAAAUAAAAAAGGAAACAAGUUUGUUAUCUCAAGAAAUAACAUUGUUAGAUAAAGAAACACUUGAAAGAAUGCUCAAGGUCUUCUCUGAAAAUGAAGCAAUAUAUCCUUUCUCUAGAGACUGAUACAAGCUAACCCAUGUUAAAAAACGCAACCCCAUAUAUAAAAAGAAUACAUAAAGGAAUCCUAGACAUGAUCCUAGCUAACUUAAGAACGUACCUAAAAGGUUUGUUUGAGGGAAAAGCGGAUCACUCUUCAAAAUAAAAUCUUCUUUUUUAAUAAGCCAACUUUUUUUCCGGAUAAGUAAUGCGUAAUAACUAAGAUCCUUUUCUUUUUCCUCAGUUAGCUAUCAAACCUAGAGCUUGCAACAGAAGAAACUAAGAGCUAAUUGAUAUAGAAAGGAGGGUUUGUUGUAGACUUGUAGCAACUUUAAUGAACAAGCUGUGUGGUUCAAGAAGAAACGGGUAGGUUUGGCUUGUUUGGACUUGUUUGGGCUUGUUUGAUAAUGCAUGUGACGCAAAAGAAAAUACCUCCAUCACUACCUAAAUUUUCUAUAUACUCUCUAAGUAACACAUGUGCACAUGAAGGCCACCUCGUGCACCAAUUAACUUCAUUGGGGCCAUGCGAUAGGAGAUUGAAGAGGAAAGUGACCUAAUUAUAUGUUAACAAUUCAUAAAAAAAAGGUACAAAUUAUGAGUUUUCUUCAAGAAAUCUAAUCAGAAUCAAAACUAACUAAAAGUUUCUUGAUGAUUAGAUGUAUUAGGUUCAUAUCUAAUCCCAUUAUGCUCUUAUGAGAUACAAUAUACGGUGGUGCCCUCGUGGGAGUUAUGUUUUGUAUGUUUCAAUUAUUAGUUAAUUACAAAAUGCUUACUUUUGGAAGUACGAAUUUAAUUAGUUGCUAAAUAAAUAUACGUGCAAGGUUUAAUGACACACAAUCUUCAUCUCGUUGCCUGAAAAUAUCAUAAAUUCUGAGUUUCAUGGAUGAAACUUGAAUAAAAUUGUGAGUACUUUUUUGUUUUUUUUUUUUUUUUUUUUUGUGGACGGAUGAAAGUGUAUGUACCUGUGCCCAAACUUAAAGGUACAUAGCACAGCAAAGAGGACACGAACUUUAGCAAAUAUUCGCAAAUAAUGAAUAUAUUUUAGUAGAAAGACUUGAAAAGUAAUAUCGAAGAUAUUAAUAAUAAGAAUGUAGGAAAUAGAAAGACAAUGACAGUCACCAAAUUGCCUCACAUGAAGAAGGAAUCGACCAGUAUAAAGACUGGAGCUUGGUUUCUAUUGGGAGAGAUGGUGGAUAUGUUCUUGUUUAUUUUGAAAACUGACAAAAUGUGGUUAAAACAAUAGGGGCGUGGGCAUGACAUGAGGGCACGAUUACUGCUUAAAUAUUCACACGGUUUAAACAAGGUUCAUGUGCACGCCUAUUUUCAUUCGGUCCCAUGUCCCUCUACCUUUUAAUGUUUGGUAUUGUGUACAUCAAUAUAUAUGUUGUUUAAGGAAAAGUGUUAAUUGUUUUGUACCGAGUGCUAAGUCACCUUUUCAAUAUUUAAAUAUUUAAUGAUCGAUAAAGUAUCAGGUAUUGUAAAUCGAUAACAAUAUAUCGACUGAUCACUGAUGAUCUCAUAUUUUUAACAUAUAAAACUGAAAGUGUUAAAAAGUAUUAUGUGACGAAACAUGAAAAGUUUGCAUAUAUAGUAGUAGAAAAUUUUUUGUACCUAAGAGGCCACACAUGCUCUCCCCAUCACUUAAUUCAAAUUGUCUAAGUGUUUGACUCAAGUGAGGCCAAAUUAACACGUUAGGUGGAUCCUCCCCUAGAUGUUAUAGAAUCAUGAGAAAAAAUUAUGGUAACAUGAGUCAUUUGGUGUAUUAUACGCAUUGUGAUAAGGUUGGACGAUAUGAUUGAUAUGUAUCACUUGUAGAGCAUAUUAAUAUAACAAAAAUUAAAAACAAAAAUAAAUAAAUCCACAUAGUUGAUAGAAUAACAACUCCACGUAGCAGUAUUUUGGGUAUACCAAAAAAUUGAUGACAAAAGCAUUGCAUAAGAGCUUUUAAGUUUUUCUUUUCUUUCUAAUACAAACAAUAGACUAUAUCAUCUAAACUAGAAGGAAAAUGAUUUAAACUUCAAUGCAAAAGAAGAGUACAUGUACUCUAACCAACUUGACUAAGCCCAAAUCUGAAAUAAUUUUUAAGUUAAAAGUGCUCUCAUUCUAUCAAAAAGUUGUACCUUUAGAAAGACAACUAUAGGUAACUACCGGAAAGCAAAAGAAAACUUGGUAAAACCCCUACUGGCAGAACUACCAUAUAUCGAUCCUUAUAAAUACCUAGCAUCAAUAAUUUCCCAAGACAGUUGCCCCUCUUUCUCCGAUCACUCUCUAUCUCUCAUAACACAAGGAAUUAAGCAAGCAGCCUAGAACAAGUAAAAUAGAAACAAAGGCAAUGGUUGAAGCAGCAGAGCAAUCCCAAAAGUACCCGACAAUGGCAGAGGUACAAAAUCGCACAAACAUUCAAAGAAUCUUCUUCAUCGCAUAUUAUCAUAAAUUAAUUUCUAUUGAUUUUUUUAGUUCAUUUUAUGAACUUUUCGAAUCUUGAACAUGUUCUAGGUGGUGGAAGAACUUCACAGAAUGACACAUAUUGGCUUCCCAAUUGCGGCCAUAAAUUUAGCGGGUUACCUCAAAAACAUGGUCCUAGUUGUGUGCAUGGGAAGGCUUGGAAGUCUUGAGCUAGCAGGUGGGGCUUUAGCCAUUGGCUUCACCAACAUCACUGGCUACUCAGUCCUCUCUGGCUUGGCCAUGGGCAUGGAGCCUCUAUGCAGCCAAGCUUUUGGUUCACAAAACUUCUCCAUAGCUUUCCAUACUUUACAAAGAACUAUUCUCUUAUUGCUUCUCACUUCUCUUCUAAUUGCUUUGCUUUGGUCCAAUCUUGAACCUCUAUUGCUCCUUCUCCAUCAAAACCAAGAUAUAACAAGGAUUGCAAGCUUGUAUUGCCAAUUUGCCAUCCCCGAUCUUGUUACCAAUAGCUUUCUUCACCCCAUACGUAUUUUUUUACGUAGUCAAAGCACAACAUGGCCAUUGAUGUGGUCCACUUUACUAGCAAUCAUUCUACACAUUCCUCUCACAAUCUUCUUAACCUUCACUCUUACCCUUGGGGUCAAAGGAAUAGCAAUUUCCACUUCUCUUACCAAUUUCAUAACUCUAUUUUUUCUUGUGGGUUACAUGGUCUAUGACCAUAUCACGAGAAAGUCUUUUUAUUAUUUGGUUACGGACCGGUGUGAACCCACUACUAAGUAUGAUACAUCGCAAACAUUGUACCAACCCUUAUUACCUAAAAAAGUAGUACCACUUUCGUUGAGGAAAGUGCUAGGAGAUGACGAAUGGAGGAUGCUAAUUCGACUUGCUUUGCAAAGUUGCCUAGGAGUUUGCUUAGAAUGGUGGUGGUACGAGUUCAUGACAAUUCUAGCCGGUUACCUUCACAAACCUCACAUUGCCCUAGCCACAUCAGCCAUAGUGAUACAAACCACUUCUCUCAUGUACACAUUGCCAACGACACUAAGUGCAUCAGUGUCUACACGAGUAGGCAACGAGCUAGGGGCAGGCCAACCCAAAAAGGCACGUUUGGCGGCGGUGGUGGCGGUGGGGAUGGCACUAGUGAGCUCAUUGUUGGGCUUGUUAUUGACCACUCUGGGGAGAGAAGCAUGGGGGAGAAUUUUCACAGAUGAUAAUGAGGUUUUGGAGCUAACAAUGGGUGUGCUACCAAUUGUUGGACUAUGUGAGAUUGCAAAUUGUCCACAAACUACAAGUUGUGGGAUUUUGAGAGGAAGUGCUAGGCCAGGCAUUGGGGCAUGGAUUAACUUUUACUCAUUUUACAUGGUAGGUGCGCCUAUUGCAAUAGUCUUGACGUUUGUUUGGAGAUUAGGGUUCAAAGGGCUUUGUUAUGGGCUUCUAGCAGCUCAAGUUACUUGUGUGGUGUCUAUAUUAACAGUGGUCCAUAAGACAGAUUGGGAGAAAGAAUGGCUUAAGACGAAAGAGUUUGUAGGAAAGAAUAAUGAUGGAAUGGCUGCAUUUGCACAUGCAGAUGAAACAGUCAAAUGUGAAGAGGGUGUUGCAAAUUAGGAGAUUUGAAAUGUCCAAAGGAUUUCGUGGGAUGUUGGUGUUUCUAAAGAAGUAGAAUAUUUUGCAUGCUGAUUGAUCGAUAGAAGAACAAUCGCACAAAUAGUUCCCAUUAUUCCUUGUAAUUUACGAUUUGUAAUGUUUUUGCGUUUGCUGUCCAGCUAUUUCUAGGUGCUACUUGUUUUUAGUUUUACAUGUAUUCUUCUUGUACUAGUCAUACAAAUUUAUAUUAUCUUAUAACUUUGAUCUUUACAUGUGUAUCUGAUUUUAGGGUGGAAAUUAGGCUUACUAGCUACCAUUACAAAAUACUUAGGUUUACAAUCAUAGCUCAACUCUAACUUGGUCUAACUUGGCGAUUCGAUUGUUUCUGGUAUGUCCAUAUUCUUUAGUUUAAAAUUUCUGAAUUUUUUUUUAUUAUCUUUAUUAUUACAUCACAGGAAUUAAAUUCUAAAAUAAUUAUAACCUUAACUCAUUACCUUACCCUCCUCCACGCUUGAGCUAGCCUCAAAGAUGUUAUUUAGAAAAACUACUCCUUUUAUAGCACAUAAAUUUUUCAUAAGGCUUUUUUUUUCUUUUUUUUUUUUUUGUCAUCAAAAUGAUAAAAAUUUAUUAAAGCCGAGACUUAUAUCUACUGCAAGAAUAUUAAAUAAAAAACUCGGACCAAUCUCAUUCCAAAGGAACCCGGCACCAUAUUCGGUAGCAAACGAAACCAUCUCGUGAGCAGCGAAGUUACAUUCCCGGGGAUGAACCCGAACUUAACAAAAUCAAAAUGCAUAGCUAAAGAAACAACAUCAAGCAGCGCCCUUUCUAAUAUUGCAUCCCUUUCCAUCUCUCUAUUAAUCAUACGAAUCAAAGAUUGGGAGUCAGACUCGACCUUCACCUUUGUACAGCCGCUGUUUCUGUAAAAUAUCAAUGCUGCCCUCACGGCAGCAGCCUCAGCAGCAAUGGCAGAACAAAAAUAAAUUUCCCCACACCUCCAGUUCGCUUUAAAAUCCCAGCAAAGUCUCUUAACAGCCACCCAAAACCACCCAACCUCGUCUUUGAUUUCCAAGCACCAUCGCAAUUAAUUUUCAAGGUUCCAAAUUCCGGCUUCUUCCAACCUCCCUGCACGCCCUUGCCGACGGAAUACCUCCAGGAUGACACGGUCCCUGGUUAUCAAUCUUAACCAUCACAUCUCUAAACUCACUCACCUGCCCCCUUCACAACUCCAAAGCCUCCGUUAGAUUCUUCAUAAGUUGUUAGAUAAUUACAGAUCACUAACUAAUCACUCAUAUUUUACUUUAUGCACUCCCUGCUUUUUAUGUAGUCUCUAAAUUAAGUAACUAAAUAAAAUCAGGAGACAUAAUAAUAAAACAGUGCAGAUAAAAGAGGAAUGCAGACAUCAGUCCUUAGAUAACUUAGUUUUUUUUUUUUUUUUUUAACAAACGAUAUUAUCUACACAGUUAAUAAUAAAACGCUAUCUACAAAGAAGAAAAUAGGAGCCCAACCAUCCUAAUAUAAACCAUUUCACCGCUGCACAAAUCUUGAGUUUUAUUAGUUUUGGGCUUUUAAUCCUCAAGUCCAAAUUGGUGAAGAAGAUGGGCCUAUGGUAGAGACCUUAUUUUCCUACGUAACGUGUUUUUUUACAUUAAGAAAGGUGACAACGGUAGGAUUUCCUUGAAAAAACUCCCCCCUAUGAGAGAAAUUAUCUUCCCUCGUUGACCCCUGUUUUUAGACUCGGCAUUAUUCUCUCUUUGGUCUUUUCUCUCUGUUUUCCUCCUUGCUUCCUAUCUUAUAACUAUCUUCAUCCUUUGAUUGUGGUCACUCUUAUCGCUGAUGAGUCUUUAUAUUUAAGGAAAACUAACAAAAAUGGUUUGAAAAUUUUGAGUUGUAAUGAUAAGAACAAAAUAAAGGGUAAAAUGAAUAGUACUAAAAUUGAAUUUUUAGUGUAAAAAUGUGAUUUUUGUUAAAGUGAAUAGUAUCGGAAACUUUUCGUUAAAAUUCACUUAUAUUUAUGGUUGUGGUUGUGAUCGUCAGCUCACUUUGUCAGAGUAAAGUCUUUGUUGGGUUCAUGGCUUACAACUCAAGCUCAGAUUUUUAAGCAACAGUUGUUCAGAGUCAAGGGUGGUGGUUUUUUUUCUUGUGGUUUUUGUCCAUGGCAAAGAACUAUGAGAAGGAAGUUUAAUGUUUGUGGAGUGUCUCGUAGUAGUGUUUCUUUAACAAUAGUUGCAAGAUCAUUAAACUGUGUUGCAGUCUUUUUCUUGCGGUGUCUUUAGUAGGCUAAGGAUCAAUUGUAUUGUAUUUUGGAUAAGAUUGUAAUUGUGAAGUUGUGAUGUUUUUUUUUUUUCACCAAUGUAACCUCUUGGUUAAAUUUGACGUGCAUGACCUAUUGGCACUCUUAAUAAAGUUUCAUUUGAAAUCUCAAAGGGGAAAAACAAAUAGUGGCAUACCACGUCAACCAAAUGAAGGGCUGGUUUGGUAGGGCUGGUUUGGUAUUGCUGUGUUUUGAAAAAAAACUGUUGUAAGAAUAAGCAGAUGUGCUGUGAGAAUAAGCGGCUGUGAAAUAAAUCAGCAGUGUUUGGUAAACUUUUUUGUAAAAGUGCUUUUGGAAAAAAAAACAGUUUGAUAGUGGGUCUUUUCAUUAAAGGAGCCAUGUAGCUCCGUAUGCUUUGAAAAGAAACCAGUUUUCCAAAGCUGCAAAUAGUAGCUUCAGCUUUUUUCUUUGAUUUCAGCUUAUUCUCAUAGCAGCUUCCAAAAUAAGCCCUUUUUUUUCAGUUUACCAAACACCUAAAACCCUCACAGCAUUUUUUCAUGGAUGCUUUUUUUUUAAGCACCUCACUUCCAAACCACCCCGAAGUCAUGCCAUGGUUAGAAUGAGAAUAAGAAUACUUAUUUCUGAUUCUUGAGUUUUUUGUGUUUACUAAAGUAAUCAUAUGUUAAUAUUUGGGAAAAUUAUGAACCAAAUCAAGCAGACGGGGUUAGUGAUCCGAUUUCCUUUUCUAUUACUCCCCUUUUUUAAUUUCCUGAUUCCUUCUCUCAUUUUAAUUAAAUAAACAGGUCAUCAUUGUUUCUUUCUUUUUUUGUUUUUGGAUGAAUAUUUUCCCAUUUAGCUACCUUUAAAGUCUCAACCGAAUAAAUGUCGCUUUUUCCUUUUUCCCUUUUUUCUGUUUAAGGGCGGGCAAACUGAUGAAGACGAUGGUGACUGGUUUGCAGAGCUUGCACAAACACUGGGUCUGGGGCUGCUUUUAGGGUUUUUUCUUUUGGGGGGGGUCAAUAAAAUGAUUAAAAUGAAGAAGCUGCUUUAGAGUUUUGCUUUCUAUUAUGCAGGCCAUCAUAAUGGUUCAUUGAAAACCACCAUUGAAAGCCACAUAAAGGUAAACUUGACACUUGACAGUGGAGGUAGCUGGGAAUGUAAUCAAAUGUUGUCCUUCCUGAAGGUGUAGGAAUAAUUAAGAAAAGAAAGAUGCAAACCCUAGCAUGAGUCCAGAGUAUAUAAAUGGAAAUUUUUUACCUAUAUUAACUUCAUCGAGUUUCAACAACAACAACAACAACAAAGCCUUUUCCCACUAAGUCGGGUCGGCUAUAUGAAUCCUAGAACGCCAUUGCGCUCGGUUUUGUGUCAUGUCCUCCGUUAGAUCCAAGUACUCUAAGUCUUUUCUUAGGGUCUCUUCCAAAGUUUUCCUAGGUCUUCCUCUACCCCUUCGGCCCUGAACCUCUGUCCCGUGGUCACAUCUUCGAACCGGAGUGUCAGUAGGUCUUCUUUGCACAUGUCCAAACCACCGUAACCGAUUUUCUCUCCUCUUUCCUUCAAUUUUGGCUACUCCUACUUUAUCUCGGAUGUCCUCAUUCCUAAUCUUAUCCUUUCUCGUGUGCCCACACAUCCAACGAAGCAUCCUCAUCUCCACUACACCUACGUGUUGAUGCUUUACCGCCCAACAUUCUAUGCCAUAAAGCAUUGCCGGCCUUAUUGCCGUCCUAUAAAAUUUUCCCUUGAGCUUCAGUGGCCUACAACGGUCACACAACACGCCGGAUGCACUCUUCCACUUCAUCCAUCCAUCUUGUAUUCUAUGGGUGAGAUCUCCAUCAAAUUCUCCGUUCUUUUGCAAGAUAGAUCCUAGGUAGCGAAAACAGUCGCUCUUUGGUAUUUCCUGAUCUCCGAUCCUCACCCCUAACUCAUUUUGGCCUCCGUUUGCACUGAACUUGCACUCCAUAUAUUCUGUCUUUGAUCGGCUUAGGCGAUGACCUUUAGAUUCCAACACUUCUCUCCAAAGGUUAAGCUUCGCGUUUACCCCUUCCUGCGUUUCAUCUAUCAACACUAUAUCGUUUGUGAAAAGCAUACACCAAAGAAUAUCAUCUUAAAUAUUAAGUUUGUGAUCUUCGCUAGAUUGCUCCGGUCAUUAGUGUGGAUAAGUAUGUAAAUGGAUAGAGACAGGAAGCAAACACAAGAUGUACGUGGUUCACCCAGAUUGGCUACGUCCACGGAGUAAAGGAGUUCUCAUUAAUUGUGAAGGGUUUACACAGUAUAUAGGUUCAAGCUCUCCUUUAGUGAAUACAAGUGAAUGAUUUAGUACAAAUGACAUUAGGAAAUAUUGUGGAAGAAUGAUCUCGUAAUCACGAAACUUUUAAGUACCGAAGUGUGGUAUCGUCUUCACUUGCCUUAUCUGUCUUAUAGGUAGAUGUGGCAUCUUCUUUGGAAGUACUCUUCCUACCUCCAGGGGUGGUAUCUUUAACUGGUGGAGAUGCACAAGGUAAUGUAUCAAUUUCACUUGACGCUUACUUGUAGUUUCAGGCUUGGUCAAGCGCGAUACAAACCAUGUAGUAGGAGUCCCCCAAGUCGCCGAGCUAGGGGAUCUGCUGAAAGAGGUGACAGACAAGGUAAGCAAUUAGAGCUCCAAGCAAUCAGUCCCAGAUCAGAAGUUUUGAUUUCGAGUUCCGGCUGAUUGUUAUCCUUCUCCUUAUCUUGCAGGUAGCAUGAAGGAUAAAGAGAAGAAAAGGAGAAAAGGUGAUAUGAGAUACUUUUGCUUUUGAAGAAGUAACUUUCCACAGACUUAUUCUUGAACUGGGCUGGAGGGUUUUCUUGUUUCCACCAGAGUAUAAGGCCGACUGAAGAAUUUGAGGGUCAAAACAAGUCCAUCAAAUCUAGAGUACAUUCGACCCUGCUGAUAUGGGAUACUUUUGCUGUUGACAAAGUAGUGGAUGUAUCGGCACGUGUUCUGUUGCGCUUGUCUCCACAUGCUUCCUUGUAUCCUUCUCACUUGCCCUAUUUGUUCCUCAGGCAGAUGUGGUAUCUUCUCGGGAAGCAUAAGAUGUUGAAGAUGAGUACUCGAGAGCAAUGGGGUUCCAGGCAGUCAGUUCCGGACUGAAAGCUUGAUUCCAAGUGCUGACUGAUUGCUCUCUUUCUCCUUGUCUUGCAGGUAAGAACAAGGCCAAAGGAAAAGACAGGAAAAAAGCAUGAUAUGGGAUACUCUUGCUUUUAACCUUGAUGAUAUGAGAUAUUCUUGCUCUAGUGUAGCUUGUUUGCAGAGGUAUUCUCGGGGGGAAAGAAAGCUGAGUAUUUCGAGAGGCUUCGUUGGGAGUGCCCUCUCAGAUAUGAGGAAGGGUUGAGCAUUUUUGCAGGUCUGCCUGUCCGUUGAGGAUGGAGGUCGACAUAUAUAGGAGUCUCCCUAACAAGGAGUAAUACUAUUCUUUUACCCUGCUUGGUCAUAGCACGGUAGUGGGAGCUGCCAGCUUCACGUGUUUUAACUCUGUGAGAGCACUUUGAAAAAGUGGUCUGUGGUAUCUGGAAAGCUGAUGUUACGUGUGAAGAUUACAGACAAGCUUUAUCCAAGGAGAUCUGGCUCUCGAAGUUGAGAAAGCGGUGUGAGGAUUACAGACAAGCUUUAUCUAAGGGGCUCUCGAAGUUGAGAAAGCGGUGCCUCUUCGGUUUUCGAACAAGCAAUCCUGUCGGGGAUCUGUCUCUCGAGAUUCGAAGAACGGUGCCUCUUCGAUUUUUGAGAAAGCAAUCCUACUAGGAGUCUGGCUCUCGAGAUUCGGAGAGCGGUGUCUCGUCGCUUUUUUAGAAAGUAAUCGUGUUGGGAGUCUGGCUCUCGAGAUUCGAAGGACGGUGCCUCUUCGAUCUUGAAGCAAGCAAUCUUGUUGGGAGUGUUUUCUCGAAUGUGAGUAAAGGUUAGGCCUGUUUGCUAGUCUACCUUGCCACGGAGCACAGAGGUUGACCCACAGGGACUUUCCAAUUAUCCAGCAAUGGUCUUGUUCCUUUACCCUUGUGGGUAAUAAUAUGGUAGCUAGACUAGACUUUCAAAAUUUAUGUGUCUAAACUUUGUUAGUGUUGUUUCUUUGCUAUUCUUUUACCCUUCUUGGUCAUAGCGAUGUAAUGGGAGCUGCAAGCUUCACGUGUCUAAACUUUGUCAGAGAUUUUUGGCAAAGUUAUCUGUGGUACCCGUGAGCUGAUGUUGCGUGUGGAAAGUGAAUGAUUGAACAGUAACAUUCACGUGCUUUCUACUUCACUAGAAAUCUUCGACAGAAUGCCCGUAAUUUCCGCAAAGUUGAGUGUGCAUGUGACAGGUGCUGACAAGGCUGAAAAAGCAGGUGCCUCUUCGAUUUCUGAGAUUGGCCCUCGUGGUCUCUGAGCAGCCCAGCUUUUGAGAAAGCAAGCGCCUUUUCGAUUUCUGCGAUCGACCUUCGUGGUCUUUGAGGAGCCCAGCUUUUGAGAAAGCAAACGCCUAUUCGAUUCCUGAGAUCGGCCCUCAUGGUCUCUGAGUAGCCCAGCUUUUGAGAAAGCAAACGCCUUUUCGAUUUCUGAGCAGGCGCCUCUUCGAUUUCUGAGAUUGGCCCUCGUGGUCUCUGAGCAGCCCAGCUUUUGAGAAAGCAAGCGCCUUUUCGAUUUCUGCGAUCGACCUUCGUGGUCUUUGAGUAGCCCAGCUUUUGAGAAAGCAAACGCCUAUUCGAUUCCUGAGAUCGGCCCUCAUGGUCUCUGAGUAGCCCAGCUUUUGAGAAAGCAAACGCCUUUUCGAUUUCUGAGCAGGCGCCUCUUCGAUUUCUGAAGCUCCAUCGAGUGUGAAUUUUUAUAGAGGCUGGUAUUAAGUUCCAAAGCACACUUGAAUCUCCACCAGUAGAAGCUCCCUUCUUGCAUUUCUAAGAUCUUGAUUUGUCCGACUUCUUUUCUCUUCAACACCUUUGAAAAUGUCUGGCCCCUCCGACCGUCGUUUUGACUUGAACCUUGUUGAAGAGGCAGCCACGCCUUCUCCAGACAACAUAUGGCGCCCAUCCUUCGUAUCCCUUACUGGUCUUCUUACCGUUGGGGAUUCCGUGAUGAAGAAUGAUAUGACCGCUGCGGUGGUGGCCAGGAACCUUCUCACUCCCAAAGAUAACAGACUACUUUCCAAACGGUCUGAUGAGUUGGCUGUUAAGGAUUCUCUGGCUCUCAGUGUUCAGUGUGCAGGUUCUGUGUCUAAUAUGGCCCAACGCCUAUUUGCUCGAACCCGCCAAGUUGAAUCAUUGGCGGCUGAAGUGAUGAGUCUCAAACAGGAGAUUAGAGGGCUCAAGCAUGAGAAUAAACAGUUGCACCGGCUCGCUCAUGACUAUGCUACAAACAUGAAAAGGAAGCUUGACCAGAUGAAGGAAUCUGAUGGUCAGAUUUUACAUGAUCAUCAGAGGUUUGUGGGUUUGUUCCAAAGGCAUUUAUUGCCUUCGUCUUCUGGGGCUGUACCGCGUAAUGAAGCUCCAAAUGAUCAACCUCUGAUGCCUCCUCUUUCUAGGGUGCUGUCCAAUACUGAGGCUCCGAAUGAUCCCCCUCCGGUGCCUGCUCUUUCUGGGGCUCUGCCGACUGCUGAGACUUCUCCUAAGCAACCUUUGUGAAGGCUCUUUCUUGUUUGUUUAUUUUGACUCGUGUAUAUGUACAUAUUUGUAACUUCUUAGAGAUAUCAAUAAAUAAGCUUUGUUUCAUUUCAACGUAUUGUGUUAAAUACACCAAAGCCUUCUUCACUAAGUUCUUUGAAUUUUUCUUUUGUUAAAGCUUGUAUGUUGAAGCUUUAUGAGUGGAGCAUGUAGGUUGAGGUAGUGUUCCCUUAAUUUCCCGGGUGGGGAAAACUUCUCGAUUGGAGACUUGAAAAAUCCAAGUCACUGAGUCAGGUCGGCUAUAUGAAUCUUAAAACACCAUUGUGCUCGAUCCUGUGUCAUGUCCUCCGUUAGAUCCAAGUACUCUAAGUCUUUUCUUAGAGUCUCUUCCAAAGUUUUCCUAGGUCUUCCUCUACCCCUUCGGCCCUGAACCUCUGUCUCGUAGUCGCAUCUUCUAACCGGAGCGUCAGUAGGCCUUCUUUGCACAUGUCCAAACCACCGUAACCGAUUUUCUCUCAGUUUUCCUUCAAUUUCGGCUACUCCUACUUUACCUCGGAUAUCCUCAUUCCUAAUCUUAUCCUUUCUCGUGUGCCCACACAUCCAACGAAGCAUCUUCAUCUCCGCUACACCCAUUUUGUGUACGUGUUGGUGCUUCACCGCCCAAUAUUUUGUGCCAUACAGCAUCGCCGACCUUAUUGCCGUCCUAUAAAAAUUUUCCUUAAGCUUCAGUGGCAUACGACGAUCACACAACACGCCGGAUGCACUCUUCCACUUCAUCCAUCCAGCUUGUAUUCUAUGGUUGAGAUCUCCAUCUAAUUCUUCGUUCUUUUGUAAGAUAGAUCCUAGGUAGCGAAAACGGUCGCUCUUUGGUAUUUCCUGAUCUCCGAUCCUCACCCCUAACUCAUUUUGGCCUCCAUUUGCACUGAACUUGCACUCCAUAUAUUCUGUCUUUGAUCGGCUUAGGCGAAGACCUUUAGAUUCCAACACUUCUCUCCAAAGGUUAAGUUUCGCAUUUACACCUUCCUGAGUUUCAUCUAUCAACACUAUAUCGUCUGCGAAAAGCAUACACCAAGGAAUAUCAUCUUGAAUAUGUCCUGUUAACUCAUCCAUUACCAAUGCAAAAAGGUAAGGAUUUAAGGAUGAGCCUUGAUGUAAUCCUACAGUUAUGGGGAAGCUUUCGGUUUGUCCUUCAUGAGUUCUUACGGCAGUCUUUGCUCCUUCAUACAUAUCCUUUAUAGCUUGGAUAUAUGCUACUCGUACUCCUUUCUUCUCUAAAAUCCUCCAAAGAAUGUCUCUUGGGACCCUAUCAUACGCUUUUUCCAAAUCUAUAAAGACCAUGUGUAAAUCCUUUUUCCCAUCUCUAUAUCUUUCCAUCAAUCUUCGUAAGAGAUAGAUUGCCUCCAUGGUUGAGCGCCCUGGCAUGAACCCGAAUUGGUUGUCCGAAACCCGUGUCUCUUGCCUCAAUCUAUGCUCAAUGACUCUCUCCCAGAGCUUCAUUGUAUGACUCAUUAGCUUAAUACCCCUAUAGUUCAUGCAAUUUUGUACGUCGCCCUUAUUCUUGUAAAUAGGCACCAAGGUGCUCUUUCGCCACUCGUUUGGCAUCUUCUUCGUUUUCAAAAUCCUAUUGAAAAGGUCAGUGAGCCAUGCUAUACCUGUCUCUCCCAAGGCUUUCCACACUUCAAUCGGUAUAUCGUCUGGGCCCACUGCUUUUCUAUGCUUCAUCUUUCUUCAAAGCUACAACCACUUCUUCCUUCCUGAUUCGACGAUAAAAUGAGUAGUUUCUACACUCUUCUGAGUUACUCAACUCCCCUAAAGGAGUACUCCUUUCAUGUCCUUCAUUGAAAAGAUUAUGAAAAUAACCUCUCCAUCUGUCUUUGACCGCGUUCUCUGUAGCAAGAACAUUUCCAUCCUCAUCCUUGAUGCACCUCACUUGGUUUAGGGCCCUUGUCUUCUUUUCCCUUGCUCUAGCUAGUUUAUAGAUAUCCAACUCUCCUUCUUUGGUAUCUAGUCGCUUAUACAUAUCGUCAUAAGCCGCUAACUUAGCUUCUCUCACAGCUUUCUUCGCCUCUUGCUUCGCUCUUCUAUACCUUUCACCAUUUUCAUCGGUCAUAUCCUUGUAUAAGGCUUUAAAACAUUCCUUCUUAGCCUUCACCUUUGUUUGUACCUCCUCAUUCCACCACCAAGAUUCCUUUGGUGUGGAACAAAGCCCUUGAACUCUCCUAAUACCUCUUUUGCUACUUUUCGGAUACAGCUAGCCAUGGAAUCCCACAUUUGGCUAGCUUCCCCCUCUCUAUCCCACACACACUGGGUGAUUACUUGCUCUUUGAAAAUGACUUGUUUUUCUCCUUUUAGAUUCCACCAUCUAGUCUUUGGGCACUUCCAAGUCUUGUUCUUUUUUCUCACUCUUUUGAUAUGUACAUCCAUUGAUCGGAUCAUAUUUAUAUAUAUUUUUACUUCGAAUUCACUCGUCUUUUCUUAGUUAGUUCCUUAUAUUUUUGAGUUAUUUACGUUAUUUUUGUGUUUAUAGGAUUUGUUAUGCAAAGAAAAUAAAAAUAGAACAAGUGAAAUUUUAUGUAAUAAAUUCGUCAAAAGCAAAUUUAAAUUACAAUAUUGCUAAUCCAUUGUGACGAUAAAUGAUAAACCAAUAUUUAAACUAUAUAUUUCAUCCUUUUAUAUUUCUUUUCUUGUCUAAUUUAGUUGGAAGUUUUAAGUAUUUAUGAUACUUUUGAUUUAUUGUGUUUCUAGGAGAAGAAAGAAAGCUAAGAGAGAUCAGCAAAAAGAGAACAAAAAGAAGGAAAAAUAAUAAUGAGGACAGCAGGAUAAUUGGGAGAGGGAAAGAAGGUAGGCGUGAAAGGAGGGAGAAAACGGAAAGAAUAAAAAAUAAAAAGAAGAAGCUGCUUUGCAGCUGGAAAAAGGGAGAAUAAAAUGAAAAAAAUGACAAAGAAGUGGGAGACAUGGAAUGAUGGAGAAGAAUAACAAAAGGGAAAUAUAGGAGAGUGUUGGACGGCAAAAACAAAAGAAAAAGAAUAAAGAAUGGAAUGAUGGAGGAAUAAAAAAAGAAAAGAAGGAAUAAAAAAAUUAAAAGAAGAAUAAGAGGAGGACACGGGCAGACUGGUGGGAGAGAGGAAAUAGAAUAAGAAAAUAAAGAUGGAGGAGGCGCAAAGGGCACUUAGAAGAGGAAUAAAAGUGAGGAGACACAGCAGAAAGCGCGGGCUGGGAGCAGGAGAAGAGAGCUGCCUUUGGGCAGCUCGCAGAGACGCAGGGUGAGGGGAGGUCACAAGCUGCCUUUGGCAACGUGACUGGCAGAACGCGGAGACUUGCGGGGAGACUUGCGAGGAGCUGCCUUGCGCGAGAGGACAGAGAGAGAAGGCGGGAGCAGUGAGCCUCAGCAGGGGUUCAAAGAGCACGGACAGAAACAGAAGCAGCAAGCUUCUCCUCUUUCGGUUAAAACGUUCCAACUUAUAUUUUACUUUUGGUUAAAUGUUUUAAUAAUGUGUAAUUAAAUUUUAUUUUGGCUAGAGGUUAAUUCAAAGCCAUGAAUAUAUUUGUAAUAUGAAUUGAUUACCUUCAGUUGUGAUUUAUAAGUUGUGAAUUCAAUUUACUUAUCCGUUCGUAUAAAAACUGAUUUGUGUAUGUUGGUUGAGAGUGCACGCUUAAUUUACAUGCAUGAAUUUGAUGCUAGAAUAUAAGUGAAUUUCACCUAAUCGUUAUGAACUUAUUUUCACAAGUAGUAAAGGUUGCUAGUCACAAUCACGUUAAGUAAAUUCUUGGCAAGAGUAUCAUGCUUUUCAUAGUUACGAAUGCCUCGUCAAUGCUUAUAGUUUUCACAAAGUUUAAUGAUCUUUGAUUGUAUCUCUAUUGUGCUUUUCACGUAGGGGACUUUUGAAGAAUGUUUUGAAUUGUUGUAUGCGUUUUCCCGUCCAAUUCAAUAACUUAAGGAAAACUUGAAGAUUAAAAAAGUGCUGUUCACGGUUAAUCUGGAGUAUUGAAAUUUACAAUUUAUUGAAAGAACAACUGAAAAUCAAUUUAGGUUGCAUAUGUGUCAUGUGUGGAGAAGAACCCUCUAGCUAGUCCGUCAUUUAUCAUUUUACCUUAAUUUUAUGUUUUUGUCAAUUCUGUAAUUUAAUUAAGUUUAUUUUACUUUUCAUCAAAACCAAACACCCAUCCAUUAUUAAAUUAUAUUAUUUAGUUAGUUUUCUUUGUUGUUAGUCUUUUAAUUCAAUUUCCGUCCAUUUCAGUUCCUAGUGUCUAAUUUGAGUGUUUCCAUUAUUUUGAGUCAUUAUAAGUGUGUUUCAAGUUAUUAGAGUUUUUAGCCUAGUUUUGUGUCCUUGAGUCUUAUUUAAUAUUUUUAAAUUAAUUUAGAAUAGAUUAGCAAUCCCUCCUAAUUCCCGGCCUAGAACGAUACCCUACUUACAUCUAUACUACAAUUGUCAAAAAGAGGGUUUAAUUUGUGUGUCAAGAAAUUCUCACAUCA